This 72764-nucleotide long non-coding RNA is filed under the name Brachypodium distachyon (stiff brome). Its description in RNAcentral is "long non-coding RNA (BDIS_LNC001806)". The stretch from base 27336 to 27471 matches the Rfam family "MIR1120/MIR1122 microRNA precursor family". The record is from RNAcentral. Lineage: Eukaryota; Viridiplantae; Streptophyta; Magnoliopsida; Poales; Poaceae.
GAGGGAGAGAGAAAAGUGGAGGCAAAAGGAUAAAAGUAGGUCCUUUGGUCCAUAGCUUUUGUGUGCACCAUGAGAGAAAAGUAGGGUUUGGUCCAUGGUCCACCAUGGACCAAGGGCCCUCCUCUCACUUUUCUUGCUCCCCACUCUAACUCAUUUGACCCCUUGACCAUGGCAUGAGAGGCUUGACUUGUUGACUAGUUUUCCUCUGCCACGUAGGAUUGACCGCGCCACGUAGGUGUCUUUGACUCGUGCUUGCGGAAUGUUGACUUGGUCGCCAUCACAUAGGAUUUACGGCUCGGCCCAUAUAAGGGUUUAUUUUACUACUAUUCUUCAAAUUUUAUUUGAGUGUAUAUGUGUAGUGAGGUUUAUUAAUUUUGCAUUUCGAAAAAAUCAAUCGUGAACAUGGUUCGUGAAGGAACUUUUAAUUUCCUAUUUUCAUACUGGUCUAAUAGCACAUACCAGUGACAUGCCUUUGUCAUUUUUUUGUGCUUUAAAAAUAAUACAAAUACAAUAAUAAAUAUCUUUAAUAAAGAUGUUUUGCACGGGACACCUUGCUAGUUCUUUAAUUAAUGCAAAAAAGGGAAAUAUCAGGAAAACAUAGCUUAUGCAUUUUUUUUGUAAAUCCGGUACGCAUAUCCAUUUAACUGGUUUAAGUAACACUAAAGUAACAUAUCUUGGAGGGAAGCGCCGUCGCCGCGUCGUAUAAUUGCCUUAAAAAAAAGAUACUCUUUCCGUUUCAUAAUUUUUAUCUCAAAAUUUGCCCCCAAAAUAAUGUAUUUAUUUAUAAGAAAUGUUUAGAUUCAUGUAAUAUUUCGACAAAAAUUAUUAAACUGAGGGAGUAUCUCUUGUCCGUCGAGCACAUACUGCAUAAGCAUGCACACGCAGGUUGUGUCUCUGGUCUCUUCUGCGGUCAUUUGCAGUUUCGCGCUAAACUGACUAACGAACACUUCAAAGUUUAAAAAAAUAAAAAAAAAAAUAGCGAGAGCACCUGGUUGCGGGCUUGCUGCAGGAGCUCAAAGUUAAAUUGAUGCUCCUGUCGCCUAUAUAUACGAGCCAGUAGCUCCUUCAUCACAGCAUCAAGAUCACCACCACAAGUGCAUCUGUGCAAAGCGUGAAAAACAGAGCAAAACAUCCUCUGCCUCAGCCCGCGAAGCCAGCUCCUCUCCCCUGUUCCUACUCUGUUUCCCUCACUCACUGACUCACUCGAGAGUUCCUAGUGGAACGCGAGGCUUUGCUCGGGACCCGGCCAUGGUGGCGAUCAAGGCGCCGAGCUCCAUCGACCACGCGAACCCGCUGACCAAGUCCCCCAAGGCCGCAGCAGCAGCAGCAGCAGCGAUCCCGACGGUGGACCUGUCGUCCCCGGGCGCGGCGAGGGCCGUGGCGGAUGCCUGCCGCGGCGUGGGCUUCUUCCGGGCCACCAACCACGGCAUCCCCAGCUCGCUCGCCGCAGCGCUCGAGGCCCGCGCCAUGGCCUUCUUCGCGCUCCCGCACGAAGACAAGGUGGACGCCACCAUUGCCGCGGCCGCCCGGAGGCCCUUCGGGUACGGCAGCAGGAGCAUCGGCUCCAACGGCGACGUCGGCUGGCUCGAGUACCUCCUCCUCUCCCUCGGCUCAAACUCAAACUCCAGCUCCAUCCCAGGAGCUUCCUCCCUCCCGCCAUCGCUCCGGGCGGCGCUGGAGGAGUACACGGGAGCGGUGAGGAACGCGAGCGGGAAGGUGCUGGAGCUAAUGGCGGAGGGGCUGGGGAUGCAGGAGAGAUGUGCGCUGAGAAGGAUGGUGGAUGGAAGCGAGGAAGAGCUUGUCAGGGUGAACCAUUACCCGCCGACCAAGGAAGAAGACUGCGUGGCGGGGAUGACGGGGUUCGGGGAGCACACGGACCCGCAGAUCAUCUCCCUGCUCCGGUCCAACCGCACGGCCGGGCUCCAGAUUAAGCUCCAAGGACCCGACGCGCCAUGGGUCAACGUGGCUCCCGACCCGGAUUCCCUCUUCGUCAACGUCGGCGACUGCUUGCAGGUGCUGACGAACGGGCGGUUCAGGAGCGUGAAGCACAGGGUGGUGGCGCCGGAAGGGGCGCAGGCGUCGAGGCUGUCGGUGAUCUACUUCGGCGGGCCGGCGCCGGCGCAGAGGAUCGCGCCGCUGCCGGAGCUGAUGAGGGAGGGCGAGCAGAGCCUCUACAGGGACUUCACCUGGGGGGAGUACAAGGCGGCUGCCUACAAGACCCGCCUCGGCGACAACCGCCUCGGCCCCUACGAGCUGCGCAACGUCGCAGAUACUAAUCCGACGGCUCUGAUCACCGCCUCCAAGGAACCCACAGCCGCCGAUCACUGCUGCAGCAACAGCAGCAGCAGCAGCGCCGCCUGCGUCGUCGUCCAGCCGCCGCACGUAGCACAAGUGCACUAGCUAAGCUAGCUGAUGUCCGGCCGGCGGCUACUGUCGAUCGUUGGUCGGUCGUUUGAUGUGUAAUCCAGAUGUGGUAACUAAAGCUAGCUGUACGUGUGCCUGCCUGCUUUCCCAGCCCAAAAUUGGCAUGCGCCUGCGAAAAUGCCUCUCCCGCAUGCUCUGCUUCGUCCCGGUUUCAGUUUGUCCUUUCUGGGAAAACAUUUGUAACUUCCGCUAGUAGUAGUAGUAGGCUCGUAGCUGCAAGCCUGCAAGUGUGCUGCACCCUUUUGUCACCGGCAGUUUAACAGCUUGAAUCGCACGCUAUAUGCUGCCUGGUGUACUGUAAAUUAACGGCCCUAUUGUUCCGAUUGUCUUUGUGUGUUACUUACUUCUAGAGUACAAGUUAACUGGAGUACUAAGUGACAACGUUGUAAAAAAGCCCCCCUCUUCGCUUCUUUGGGGCCUUUUGUGCCGUAUAAGAAGUUAAGUACUUCAGAGGAAGAAGGAAACAGUUCAGUUUAGAUUCUACACGGUGCCAACCCCCGAUGCAUCAUCAAGACAUCAAGGUUCAGAUCAGACGACAGGGCUCGAGCCGUGCUCGGUAACAGCUCACGUCCGCUUGUUACAACUAGACGAGCCCCGUACGUUGUCGUGGAAAUUUUUAGUUAACAUACGUGAGCCCACGUUGUUGAGAACAUACAUGAAUGAAAAAUAGCAACAAAAGAGUAUUCAGUGAAAUGUAUAAUGGAAUUGUAUGAUAAAUUAUAGAUCAUUCACUUAGUAAAAAUAGCUUGAUGAAAAAUAGCAUGCAUGCAUGUGCAAAAAAUAUGAGUGUUUCACUAAAUAGAUAUGAACAAAUUAAUAGUGUGAUGAUGUGGCAUGCUUGCAUGUUGAGAGAAAUCAAGUAGCAGUAGCAUGUUCUUCUCCUUAGAUAUGGAAGAUUAGUGCUGUGCGUGGUACGGUUCGAGCUGAUCCAAGAGAAACGUGGUAUCUACGGAUCGGAUGUUCGGUUUACAAAAAAAAUCGGAACAACUAAAUCCUAUCCAAUUGAACCAUUGAUUCACCGGUUCGAACCUUCCUGUUCCUCAGGCCGAGGCAGCGAUUGAUCUCUCCAAUUCCUCGAUUUGCUGCUGCUGCCGCCGCCGCCGCUAAGCCCCACCGUGGUCGCCGCCGCCGUCUCCUUCAGUGCAAGUGAUCACAGUUCGCACCGCCUGCAAAUCCGCUCCCUCCCCACCCCCUCAGCGGCUCGCCGCCUUCAAAGCCGAAGCCAAGACGACUCCGCCGCUAAGACCAUCGGCGGCCGCCUCCGCAUCCCACGCCGCCACCGGGUGGAUUCGUCUCCAUCGCGCCGGCGCCCCCAACUCCCCGCCAACCUCCACCAUUACCCUGCUGUCGAUUCAGCGAGAUUGAAGUUUUUCUACCUCCGUCCCAGGCGCGCACUGCAGCCGAGCAGGCGACGAAAAUAACUCCUCCAUUACCCUGCUGUCGGCAACCUUCUUCGAGCUUUGAGCUAUUCGGCUUUUCCGGCCUGCAGCAGAGCAGCCGACGAGAGCCCUCUGGCAAGACGAAGCAUGCUGUUCUUUUCGGUAUGCAGUAUGCGCAGGCAAUUUAGGUUCGAACCAAAAGAUCCAUUGGAUCGUGUGGAUCACGGAUGCUGCUCCAAUGGAUCGAACCUUUUUACUCCCUUGCACCCUAGGUACGUGAAGUUUGGUGCGGUUCAGAGCCGGUACGAGCCACGCCCACCCCUAGUUACAAUCCGUUUUACUAAACCAACUAGUGGAAUGUCCGUGCUUCGUGACGGCUGAUGUUCAACAUAUAAUGGAAACGAAUAUUGAAAAGAAGGUGCAUAUCGUUUGCACGGAAUACAUAUCGGCCAUACCCAAUUGCUAUGAUAACAAAAUUCGACAAUACCAAAACAUUGAAAAACGACGAUAAAUAAUAUGAGAACUCAAGAAUACAGAACUUGGUUCAUACAUAGGAUGCGGUACAAACAGAUCUAUCUAAAGUACCACAUUAAAUAACAUCAAAGAAAGGUAAACUGGAACCAACCUAUAAUAGGGCAAGCUUGUUCAAGUAUAUUACAAUAAAAAUAUGCCUGGAAGGCAAAUUGGAAACAAAGAUCAUGAUUAGUGACAACAAAAACACUUACCACAUCUAUUAGCUGAUGAAAUGGUAGGAGCAAACCUUCACUAACAGCAUACAAGAACGAUGUCGCCAUUCUCUACAGCCUCCCAGAUAUUUUCAAGCCUCUCAUUCCUACAAGGACUUGAGUUGAUAUUAACAACUGGCACAGUUUGGUACCUCUUUUGUACAGUAGGAUAGAAUCACAUAAGGUAGAUUAUAUGUAUCCUGGAGGUUAUGGUAGAUUAAUAUAGACAACUUGUAACAUAUACAUUUUUAUAUUAGUGAUAUACAAGAAAUGGAAGUUGAAGGACUCAGCUACUUAUGGCUAAUGAAUUUGUUCAGGGUUCAGAAGACCGUAACCGGAUGGUUUGAGUUUCCAACGCAUUUGCAGCAUUGCCUUUUUCAAAUUUUAGUAAGCCCCAAAAUUACACCACUGAAAUUAAGCAACCAAACUCAGUAAAGGGAUACGUUCAAAAUGCAGAUAUUACCUUAUUACAUCCAAACAAAACGUAUGAAAUAUCAUGUUUAUGGGAAUUCCUAGAUUAGUGUGAAUAGUCCCAAGAGGAGCAACAAUAUCACCAACAUCCUCCCCGGAAGGCCGAAACAUGGCCCUUAUAGAUUUGGGAUAACACAACAAACCUACAGAUGCAAAGCAUGACAGUGAAACUUUGCUCAUAUGUCAGCUUAUUAGUGCAACCAGAAAACCAUAAUGCUUUUAGAAAAUAUUGGUCACUUGGAAAAAUAAAUAAACACAGAUUCUAGAGUACUAAGUGACAAUGUGUUACCGGUAUUAUGAGCAGCUCUGCAGAAAUCAAAGUUCAGUUCUCACAAACUCAGCUUCAUAUUUCAGUCUAUUUGUUGUUCACCUUUAACCCCACUUCAGGUGGGUUUCAUUCUCAUGCUUCAUGAUAGCAUAAGCAGCAAGUAUACAGUACCUUAGUCUUAAAAAAACAUAUAAUUUUCUUCCCUGUUACAUUGUGUCGUCAGUGGUGUUCCCCAUAUAAUUGACAUAUAUUCUUUGAACAUUCUAAAAGAAAAAAGGGGAUCAAACUUGUUACACACAUGUUCCCCAAAUAAUUGACUUUCUCCUCUAUCAAAAUCUAUUUGACAGAGAGAAUGGGUUAAAAUUCAGAUAUAUUGCCAGACUUACAGUUGUACAUAAUUGAAGUUAAGAACAAAGCAUUUCAAAAAUAAGAAACAAGGGAAUAUGAAACAUAUGAAAUUUGUAAACAAAGAAUGAGCAAAACAACAAAACAUGUGCAUCCAAAACUUAUUUAUUCCUACUUACUACUUACAUGAAUUAUAUUCUGAGUCUUCUGAGUGAGUUCCAGGUACCAAUGAGCCAAAUGGAAUCACGAUCAAAUUCGUUAGCAAGUGAUUGACGAACCGCCUAUGAUUUAUCGAAAUUAUGUCCAAUUAUGCUAUCUCAGAUAAGCAUCAACAUAAAAAUUUCCUACAACAACCUUCAUUUAUAUUAAAAGAUCAUGCAUUUUACUUGACGCUCUUUUACCAAAAUAUUGCAGUAAUCAAGUCAUGACCCAAAGAUUUCCGCACAUUUUACGGACUACAAAAUUAUAAAUCACCACAUGAAUUUAUUUUGUUUCAAAAUACCGCGCCAGAUUGCCAGAAGACCAUGAGUAAGAAAGAAGUGUCUACUCUUGGCAAAAGUCUAAACUACUCCUAAGUGCCCAUCGAUGGAAGGAAAUCUCAAUCAAUACAGGGGCACAUUGAGGAGUAAGACGGAGAGAGGUAUGGAUAGGGUUAGUUACCUUGAGGUGCUGGAUGCCGAACGAGUGGUCCAUGAGGGCCAGGGGAGAGUAUCCGGCGAUGGAGAUCGCCUGCGCAAGGGACGCCGAUGACUGUCAGCAGCAUGGUGCUGCCCCCGCCAAGCGCAGCCUCAACGGUGGCCAACAGGCGGCGGCGGCCAUCGUCUUCAUCAUCCGCCGCUGCUUCAUGUGUGAGGAAGAGGAACGGCGGAGGGCGCCUGCGCAAGGGACGCCGAUGACUGUCGGCAGCAUGGUGCCGCCCCCGCCAAGCGCGGCCUCAACGGUGGCCAACAGGCGGCGACGGCCGUCGUCUUCAUCGUCCGCAAUUGCUUCAUGUGUGAGGAAGAGGAAUGGCGGAGGGCGCCCACGCGGGAGACACUGAUGACGUCGAGCGCCCCGGUGCCGCCCCCGUCGAGCGCGGCCUCGGCGGGGGCCAACUGGCAGUGGAGGCCGCCAUCGUCAUCCGCCGUUGUGUCGUGCGAGAGGAGGGGCGCUGGUGACGAGACGUCUCUGGAGUAGGGGAUGGGAUGGGGACGAUGGCGGAUCUGGAGGGCUAGAAAGGAGGAGGUGGAUCGAGAGAACGGAAAGAACGGGUGCGUGGAGAACGGUGGAACGUGGUGCGGGAGAGAGGAGCUAAUUACGGCCGUGAUUGAUUGUUGGAUUGUUUUUUUUUUAGGGUUCAGAUAGGGAUGGUUUUCUUGGGGUGCGGGGAUCGGACGGGUGGGACGAGUGCGACGGAUGAACGUACGUACCAAACUCGAAAUUAAGUAGUAGUAAAGAUAGGGUGCUAAAUUAGGCAUUUGCAAUGACAGGUGACAGUUCACGUGGGUGCCAUGCUUUCCUUUUCCGUGACAAAUAGUACUCCCUCUGAUUCUAAAUUCUUGACUCAAAUUUGUCAAAAUAUGGAUGUAUCUAUUCUUAAAAAACGUCUACAUACACGUAAUAUUUUGACAAUAAUUUAGUAUUGGAGGGAGUAGUAUGUAUGUAAGGUUCGUGCUAACCUACAUGUUGACCCUACAAGCAAUUUUUUCUUUGAAAGCAUGCCAAAAUGCCAAAUUAGUCCUUAAAAAAAAGCUAGCCAAAUUAAAGCAUCCGGUUUUGUUCCUCAUCGUUCAUUUCCCUCCCUCCCUCCUUCCCUCCCACCCAUGUUGUCGUACAAUUGUUUUUUUUAACGGGUAAGGCUUCUCAUUUCUCAAAUAAUAGUACAAUUGGGUUUACCUGCCAUUUGCUGCCCAGCCACUAAUUGGUGCUUAUCUUCACGCCUUGUCGCCCCCUUGCAAUGGCAUUCAUCGGUUGGUUAAAAAGGGAAAAACAAGUUUGCAGCACCGGUACAUUUGUACAUCCUUUUCUAUCCACGCAACCACGCGAGGCCGGACGACACGUGCUGAUGCGACUGACGGGAAAGCUGGUUUGGACGGAUGAGCAGAGAGAGAGAACCCGCGCUCGAGCCGCACGUCGGUUUCUUCUUGCAGGAUAAACAUUGCACGUACCAAACGAGCAAAAAUAAGGAACCGGGUGCCAUAUAUAUCCACUCGAUCGGCUCGGACUUUGUCGCCGCCGCCGCGGCUGCUGCUCCUGGCGUCCCGCAGACAGAUUCCCACGAGCCUUGGGCUUCAUCACACGGAUGCCUGUUACCACUCGAUCGACCAGCCCAAAUAGUCUAGCCGUCCGGACUUCGCGUGCGUGCUGCUCAUAUAAUUGUUGGUUGCGUGGGGGCAAUUAUUGACGUACGUGUAGGCGCGCGUACUAGGAUUAAUCUAUCGACGACCACCGUCAUUCACGAGGUCCGGUCGCGUUUGCUAUCGAGCCCAGGCUCCUAGCUAGUUCGACCGGAUAAGGCCGUUCCCGAAUCUAGUCUCAGUGGCAGUAGAAGAACAGUAGCAGCAUUCUGGUGUGUUCUCUGCCAUUGCUCAUGGGGAAAUAGCGGUGUGGUUGAUCUGGUGGAUUUUUGUGCGGAACCCGACAAGCAUGCAUAUUAAAUGGCUUAAAUUUGUCAAAUAAAUAUAAAUGCAUCUGAAACCAAAACGGGACGGAGGAAGUACCAGUAGUAUAAAAGAACUGUGCACAUAAUGCAUGGACGAUGAAAUGGCCUCACAUGGCGAUCGACCGCGCGCGCUUAGGGCGCCGGCACACGUAGAAGAGAGCCUCGUGCUCGCGCGCGAGCUGAGCAUAUAGCACGUACGGUCCGAGCGGCGUCCCGGGCGGGGAUCUGCAGCCUAGGCCUGUCCGGGGCGCCGUCGCAUCGGUCGAUCCAUCGAUGGCGGGACACGGGACACACUGCACACAGCACGAACACGUGCGUGCAUGCGCUAGCUGCAUAUGCCAAAUCUGGUCUCGGUUCACGUUGGUACGUACGCGCUCGAUUGAUCGAUCGAUGGACAACUGACGUAUCGAUUCGAUACGUCAGGGAGGGCUACGUACGGAAAGCUAUAGCUAGCGGGGCCGCCAGAAUCGAGCAGGGGCUCGAUCGAUUCAGAUUCGAUUCGAUCUGGGGUCGAGAAAUAUGUGUGUGACUAGCUGCUGCUAUACGCACGUGCAUAAUACUACUGGUAUGCUACACUUCUCGUUAACUAAGAUGAUCUAUCAGCCGGAGGUGGCCCGUUAAAUUGAAGAGAGGGAGAGAGAAACGUUCAAACUGAAAGGAAAAAAUGGUGUAACUAUUUUCAAACAAAGGUAUUAAAUGUCGAUGGACAUGUCAGAGACAUCGGAUCAAGAUCCGAGGGUCAUCCACACUUUCCCCUCCGUAACGUGUUAUCGCUGGAUUAAAAUCUGACGACCAACAGGGGCGGAGUUACAGCGUAGACAUUGGGUUCAGAUGAGGAAUUGGAUCCGAGCCUACACAUAUGAACCCCAUGAUUAUAGUGUAAUGAACCCAGUGGUUUCCUUUUCUGGCUCCACCCGUGACGACCAAUCACGUCGACUUGUCUCUAACUAAAAAAAUACAGACGACUUCUUAAUAGCAAAACAUGAAAAAGGAAUAUAAUGUCUCUGUAAAAUAUAGAAAGACGUGGUUCUCCGUUAAGAUGUUGUGGUUAUUUCUCUUCUGUCAGUUGACCAUUUUUGUCCCCGUCUGAUCCAGCGCCGCUCCGUUACCGUACCAUGUUUUUUCACGUCAUUAUCCGUCCGUAUUCCUUAUUUGUUUUUGCAUUCAUAUCAUGUCCGUGCCGCUUCCAAACCAAUGGAAAUUGUGAAAUAAAAUAUGGUACUAUAUAAAAUCAUUAUCCGGUCCCGUUUUACAUAUAUGCUAUAUUCCUCAAGUAUGUACAUCGAUCGCGGUCUUGUAUGAUUCAAAAACAAAAACGAAAUAUCAGUAGAGAGCAAGCGUACAUGCACACGCAGGAUAUGCUUUCGUUGGUUAAUUCGGUGUACGUACGGACCACCGCGAUGUCUCUGCGCCCGUCGACGUCACACACGCUUACGUGAGUGCGUGCGUACAGUCGGUGAUUAAUCGAUCCGGAAACGUGCCAAUAUAGUCUGCAGCCGCGCCGGCUUUUUAUACUCCCUGCAAUCAAUGCACCCGGCCCUCUCGUUUCGGCCGAAAACUGCAUACCACGCUCGAUCGAAUCAUCCAAGUAUACAGAUACACACAUGCUUCUCGAUGACUCGAUCGAUGGACUUACGGUAUAAUCGUACAGUAGUUGCUUUCGCUUCCAGACGUAGGUACACGGAACGACGAACCGGGAAAAACGGCCCUCCUGCUCCUGGCUUGGAAUCAUUCCACCUCUGGUGGAAAUCCUGGACCACCCGUACGUCCAUAUGCUCCCUUGCGAGUUGCAGACACGUUAUACGUACUCAUGUAAUCGCUCCGUUUCAUAAAAAUUGACACGAUUUUAAAUCAGAACUAAGUUAAAAUCAUGUCAAUCUUCGUGAAACGGAGGAAGUACCUGACAGGAAUGCAUGCAGGGAUCAGGCACUCCAGUUUGGAGUUGGAACGGGGCACACAUGUGGAAAAAGUUUCGAACUAACAAGGUGGCGACUGCGACCAAAGCCAGAACCAUUUUUUGUCGAGCACGAUCGAUCGACCUGCAGCGCCAGAGCCACUAGAGGGCCCAGAUCAGCUUGCCCCGCCCCAAUUCCAUGCGUUCCGGUUGUUUCCUUUCGAGCCCCCUGCCCCAGUUGCCUGCCCUUUUAUCUCUCAGCGAUCAGUUACGUUCAUGCAUUCUUGGCCACACGUACCUACACUACAAUCGGUACUACUACGUACAUGCGAGAUAGCUAUGUCCCGAUCGAGCCUGCAAUUAACGGCAACUCGACCGAUCAAUCUGCAAGUAGAGACAGUAAUCUCGAAUUUGGUUCAAAAGCAGGCAGCGAAUCCUGGAACGACCAAGUUACACGGUACUCCUAUGUAAGCUAGUACUAGUACAACUAGUAGCAUGCCACCGGUGGAUCACUCACCUGGGGAUACAAAACCGUUCUCCUUCGAUUAGAGUCGUCUGCAUUAUUGACAGUUUCGAUGGACCAGGCAGACAGAAGCAAAGCCUGGAUGCGCGCGGGAUCCACUUGUCCAGCAAAAGGGCACGAAUCGGGGAGGUCACAGGACUUAAACAUACGAUAGGCCACGCGAGCCAAAGGCGUGCCGUACUGUGCUGCCCCUGCCUGGCCUGUCGUGUGAUGUGACAGAAAAAAAUUAAAGGGAGCGGCGAACCUGCGUUUCAUGAUCAUUGAUAGAUGGAUGGGUGGAUCGAGCUAGUAUUAAGCUGGUUGUGGUGUGUGUGUGUGGAGGGGGGUCUGUCUUUGAAAAGUCGACGCUGCAUGCGGACGUUCAGUUUCAAGUGGCGUGCAAGAUGUUCCUAGUGAAAAUGUGAAAUCAUGGGGGAAAUAGGCGAAGUUUGCAGGGUUGAACGGCACACCGCGUUUGGCUGACGGCUCUAUGCGCGGAUAUGAUGUUUUCUUUUUAACGAAUAUUCUGAUAUUUUUCAAUACCAAAACCGUAUUCGGAGUUAGCUGGCGUCUGAAUUUUAAACAGAAGACUUAAAUCUCCGGACUCUUGAAUUAAGAUCUAAGUGUCAUCCCCACUCUCUCUUCUCCCGCAUGCUGUUGUUGGAUUAAGAUCCAAUGUUCAAACACGUCAGCUGAUCGCUAACUAAGAAACAAGCGACUUCUUAAUAGCAAACCGUUUUCUGAAUCCCCACAUUCGAUAAUAAAAUUCCACCGGGAACCUACCAUGCUGUAUGCAGAUAUCGACCUUCUUUUUUUGGAUUGUGAUAAGUGUAUUUUCAUAGUUUAAAUAUUGUUCACGGUGCAAAUUCCGCCCUUGCGUGGCGGGUUAUUGGACAUUCAACUGUGGAUACCGAGCUUAGCAAAUUUUUGUCGAACUCUUUUUGGAAUGGAAUGGAUUAAUACAAUUUGACUAAGAGUCAUCAUUUUUAUGGUUUAGGGUGGUGGCUGCACCCCAAAACCUACCAAGGAUCGAACCCCAGGUUUGACCCUCGGCGUGUCUCAUUUGAGCCGAAUUUCUUUUGGCAGUAGGAGAUGCAAUCCGUUCACGCUUCACACUGAAGCGUCAGUGACUUCGUCGAUCUCAAAACGUUUUCACGAUUCUGGUCAUCCGUGUGAGUGUGUGCGCACGGCGGUGUACGUCGUGUGUGAUCAUUGUUCCUAAAAUAAAGUACUUCCUUCGUCUAACAAAGGAUGUCUGAAUUUUGAUUAAAUUUGAAUGCAUCUAUACAUCAAGUCAUGUCUACAUACAUCAACAUUUUGACAAACUUGAGACAUCUUUUGCUGGACGGUGAAAGUAUAGGAGCCCGGGAAUAGCCGCAUCUUAUUACAAGCAAUUAAUAUUUCGACCCUGAACCAGUUUGAGCUUAACCCCAGUGGAUCGGAAUCGGGUUCACUGAGCGAGCGAGCGCUCCAUUACAGAUUUUUACAGGCACUGAGGCACCGUCUCUUCCUGCUGCCCCCCUCCGGGGAGCUAGCUGCGUGCUAUGGACCGCCCAUUCGUGGAACGGGCUGUACCCACCAAUACCUACGUACCUGCGCGCCUGCCAUGCCACCCCUCUGCCACGGGGGGCUGUCGGCUCCAAAGAAUCAUGCAAUAAUUACCAGCUUCUUCUAUCGGCGGCAUACAGAGGAGAGGAUUGAGCUUUUGAGCAUCUCGUGUGCAGAGAGAAUCUCUCUGCCCGUUCGCGCCAGGUGGAUGUAUUUACUUGCGCCAGGAGCAAACGAGCAACUCGUGACCGCCUACGCACGUUUCCCCGACUAGACAAGUCAAUUGGUGAAAAUUGGUGAAAUUGGCAGCUAGCUUAUUUAUCCCUUUAUCCAUUCGCACCCACCCCACCCCGGCCACCCUCCGCGCUGCGCAUGCAUGCAUGUCCUCGUGGGCUCUCGAGGACUUGAAGUACGUACGUCGCAUGCAUGCAGAUAAGACGGAGCUAGAGAGAAAGCCUCUUCUUUUCGCUCGUGGCCCGGCAUGUGCAUGCCAAUGGCAAUGCCAGCGUCCCAGUCAGCUACUCUCUCCGUUCCAAAUUCUUGCCUCAAAUUUAUCCAAAAAUAAAUAUAUUUAUUUUUUAAAAACGUUUAUAUACAUGUAAUAGUCCGACAAAAAUUAUGAAACGGAAGGAAUACUGACCAUAGCUAUGGUCAGUACAACUCCUAGUGACAAGUGCAAGCAGGGGAAGUUCAUACUCUAUGUGGGAGGUGCAAUGCAUCUCUCGCUCUAAAGACGUGGUACUCCUAGACUACAGGACUACCACGUACUGGAUUCAUCGAGAUGUGAUGGAACGGUGUACCAGGGUGCGUGGCAUGCAUGUAGACGCCGGGCCGAUCGAUGUAUGUCGAGAGCGGGAUAUGGACAACGAAAAAGGGUGUGGGCAGGGUAGGUGUUCGAUCAAAAUCCACGGACAGUUCCAAACUGAGGAGACCAUGGGGAAACUACUGGACAUCGGGGGUAUAGUGUUCACGUGACGUCAGAACUGGGGAGAGCUACACAACCUCAAGUCGUCGUCUUCUGGUAAGCAAGAGGACCCUUGUUUGGGAGCGCAAUGCAAGUGCAGAUGUUGUGCAGGCGCAGCAGAGACGUGACCCUUGCAGAAGAAAACGCGAAGAGCCGGGUAUAGUGGAUAUGUGGAUGCGUGAAUUAUCGUGGGCCGGGCCGCUUCAAAGCCUGGUAACGCGUGUCGUCGUGGCCUGGCCCAGAUUAUGCUGCUCAUCCGUCCAGCUCGCAAUACAUGAAGAGAAGUUCAAAAACCCGCUGUCCACUUUUGCAUUUAUCCAACGUUUCCUUGAUGAUUUGUCUCUCAUUCGUGAUGUUGUCCAUGCUGUGACACCGGAGCCUCCUCCUGGUGGUGGUCGCCUUGUCCCGCCCACCAACCGCUGGUCUCCUCCGUCGGCUGGUAUGUGUAAAAUUAAUGCGGAUGCUGGAGUUGCAAGGUCAGGUGCAGGUGGUUCUUGUGCUGCGGUCUGUCGCGAUGAAUGUGGAAGAUUCAUGAGAGCCUCUUCGAUUACAAUCGAGGGCAUGACCGACCCUACAAUACUUGAAGCAUUGGCAUGUAAUGAAGGCUUGUCUCUGGCCUUGGACCUUAACAUCUCAAAAGUUUGUGUUGUUUCGUACUGCUUAACGGUUAUCAAGAGUCUACAACAAGAUGAUCUUUGCUAUUAUAGUGCGAUCAUUAAGGAUAUUGUGGCAAGGAAGGAUCAGUUCCGUGAUGCUGUUUUCAGACGUGAGAAGAGAACUCUUUAUAGAGAUGCUCAUAAUCUAGUUAGAGCGGAGUUACCGCUUUCUGUUGGCCAUCAUAUUUGGCUUUUAAGUACCCCAUGCAUUACUUGUAUUCCUGUUCAAGUUGGUGUUGAAUAAAGCUGGCCUUUCCCCUAAAAAUAAAAUAUCCGUCCAGCAGAACUGAAUCCCCAAUAGCGCGGUUACAAGACAAGAAUGAUUAUGUAAUUAUGUUCCUUGUUAUCGUUUCACUUUGCACCACAGAAAGAGUGCUCUGUUUGGCUCCACCAAGGCAAAAGGAAAGAGAAACAGGAACCGAGGAGUGUCUCAUUGUCAAUUACUAAUUCAGCCAACGAACCCAUAAAACAUGUACCGACGCAAAUGCAAUUCAUCAGAAGUGUUCUUCAAGGAAGAACACAGACAGGGUAUCGGACUACCGGUGACUAUGUUUGGAUAUCUUACAUGCUCAGAAUGCUGCGGGCGAGUUAACUGGGAAAUAAUUGAAGAUGAAGAAAGGACACAGCAAGUUACAUAAGCGGCAACAGAUUUUGCUAGAGUGGCACAGCAGUGGCAGGUGCUGGAACAUGCACCUCAAAUACAAUCAGGAACUCGAACUGUUUAUAGCUUUGGACACUUUCUUCCAUCGCAAAACACUUCGAGUUUGUUCUUAUCAAGCAAAUGGUUUUCGAUUAGGCCCAGAUAUGACAUGGUGUUAUUACAUGCAUAACAGCGCUGGCUUGUCAAGCACCACUGGCAUACAGGCGAGUCCACUCCUUCGCUGCAAAGCAAAAAAAAAAUUGACAUGUUAGGUACAAAAAGCAAUGAAAAGUGGAGCAAAAUGACAUGCUAGUGUAUCAAAGUGCAGUGUUAGCGUGCGGCUUUGUUGGCUGAAUUUUCAGUUACCUGUCUCGACAGCUUCAGCUUCAUUGGAUUUCCAGUGUUUUGCCACGUUUUCUGAGAGCGGAUCAUCUGGAUUCGGAGCGCUCAGCAGUGCCUGAAUGCUGCAGACCAAACAUUGUAAAGAGGCAAAAAAAAAAGAGUAUACAAUAGUGGAUACAAGAAGCAACCCUCUGGAAAUACGAUAAUAUGAUACGAUCAUGAACUAUAAUGAAACUAUUUGGCCAAACAUGCCACGGAAGACAGAAGAGGUUGCUACCUCAAAAGAACAGUACGUAUCUGAAGAGCUGGGCUCCAUUUGUCCUUCAGGAUAUCGAGGCAUAUCCUACCAAGCUGCAGUGCAAGUCAAUCCGAAAUGAGAAACUGUUAUCGAAUGAAGUUCCAUUGAGAAUAUCAGUUCCCUACCUUGUCAAUGUUGGGAUGGUAUAUUUUUGUGAGAAACCUAACCUGCGUCAGGAAUAACCAAAGAGUGAUGUCCAUCAGAAAGAAUCACAACAGAGACAACAUACAGAAAAGUCAAAUAGAAUUGUGUAACUACUUUGGUUAGACGACAGUGUCACACUAAAACUAAAACAACCAUGUUGAUAUCCGUAAGAGUAAAACAGUCCAAGGACAGGAGUUGAGAACAAAAUAUUCAGCUACCUCUUAUUUAACAUGAUGGAAAUUACUACUCCCUCCGAUCCAUAUUAAUUGUCGAAAUAUUACAUGUAUCUAGACAAUUUUUUAGCCAUAGAUACAUCCAUAUUUGGGCAAAUUUGAGACAAUUAAUAUGGAUCGGAGGGAGUAUUAGUCUGAGUCUCAGAUGAUAUAUCACAAUGUCAGUACACUCCAAAUAUAGCAUUGCCAAUUAAGUAAAGUAAAGUACGGAACUGUGCAAAGGAGAUUAGUUAAGUGAACGGAGAGAGAAAUCUAGUAUGGAUACGAAAAGUAUUAACACAAUACUAAACAUGGGCAUUCAGUAUUCCUGAUCACAAAGAUGGUAUGCAAAUCUAUUAAUGGUACAUAUCAACAACAAACAUGGGCGCUGCCCAAAAUAAGAUGUCACAAUAAAUUGCUGGUUUCGGUUAACCACAGGCAUAAUUAAACGUCCAUCCCACUGUCGCACCAUAGCAUGAUAAAAUCAUUGCGAAGAUCGCUCUGCCAGAUUUUGAACUCAAAUUUCAGUUACAACUUACAACUAGGAAAUGAACCAAAUUCCACAUCAAGGAGCCUACCGGGACAAGAAAAUCCAUCACAAUAUGUGUCAAACUAAUAACUUCUUAAACAACCAUCCACUAAUACUUGAUCAAAAAAUUACUUUUGGAGCAGCCAUCGGAUAUUCCUCAGGUAAGAAAAGUUCAAGCUUGAAAACUCCACCUGUCCAACACAUAUUAGAAGAAAUAUCAGGAGGACCAGACACAGACAACUAAACAAAAUAAUGUUUCACCCAAUUAAAAAUGUCAUAAGCAAAUACAGUAUACAAAGAUAAGUAAACCAAGCUUAAAUAAAUAAGAUAACAUAGUGACAAAUGUACUGUCUAACAAUAGGAAAACAGGUCGUUCUGUGUACCAUUUAUCAUAUACAUGCACCGCAUUUCAUUACUCCAUGUUGCAUGGAAACAUGGUAGAUAGUUCCUUGUGCCGUAUAUCAGUAAACUUCAGUAAUCGCAAAGGUUAAGGAAACCCAAGACAUUCAAUUCCCAUAGGUUACUGAUAUAUGGUACAGUUGUAGAUCUAGCAUGUUAAGGAAACUACAAACUUGUGCCCCAUAUCAUAUCUAAACUAAUAGCAGGUAUAACUGUUGAAGUAUAAGGUGAAUUGCCCUCAUUUCUCCAUCAGCUUAGGCUUUUAGGGGCACUGGUUCGGCCCAUAUGCAACUCUCCAUGGUAUCCGAGCCAAGAGGUCCCGAGUUCAAGCUCAAUAUAAUAAAAAGGCACUUUUGAUCCAUGAGGGGGAGUGUUGAAGUACGAAAUGAAUUGCACUCGUUUCCCCAUCAGCUUAGACUUUUGGGUGAACUGGUUCGGCACAAGCAACUCUACAAAAGGCAGUCUUCCUAUGUGGAAUAACUUCUACAAAUAAAAAACCAGGUUCACUAGAGCUUAAGAUAACCGAUGAAAUGGACUUGUCAAGCUAUAUUUUGUGAUGGAUUCAACAAAGCAGAAUCUCAAAGUAUAGAAUCCAAAAGGCACAGAAGAGUACAAUUACCACUGGAACAGCUGGGUACAAGAUGGUCGGAUUGCUGGUCUAGCAAACAUAAGUUUAGAAGUGUAUAGUUCCGGCAGCACUAGAACAACACCUUUAUGUGACCAUCCUGAUAUGAUCAUCCAUCUGUGAUGUUUUACUACAUAUUUGCAGCAUUUUACAAACAAAAAGAGCCAUAGAUACGAAAAUGGGGACGCGGUGACCACAGUUACAGUCCUAAAUUGCCACAGAACUACGCAUUCGUGCUCCAAAGUAUUACAGGGUUAUCGGCAUACGAAACAUUCCAACAGAAAUAAAAUGAAAAGGAGGUUUUACCUUCAUAAGGAGACUGCGCCGGACCAAGGACCAUGACAUUGAAGUAGCGCAUGUUCUCCUCCGACGGCGACGCGCUAAUCCCCGGCGCUGCACGCACCCCCCCAACACACGAAUCAGCACAAACAUCCGAGGCUCGAACGCGGACAACACAACAGGAGCAUCGAAUUCUAGGAAAACGAACCUGGUUCGCUGAGCAGCCGCUGCGUCUCCUGCAGCAGAUCCAAAUUCCGAACAGAUUAGGCACCACGCACAAGGAAUAACCAGACGAUAAGGUUAUCAUAUCGCGUUAGAGUCUCAGAAACGGCUGUAGAUCUGGGGGGGUGAGGGGCGAUCGGAUCGCGGGGUAGGGCGCGCGCACCUUGAUGAUCCGGCGCGGGAGGUUGCUGUUGGCCAUGGAGUCCGGCCGGGGCUGGAGCGAGAGCCUAGAGGGGAGGGGGGGAGGGACCGCCUCGAGCUUCGCGCGGCGACGGAGGAGAAGACAGCGCGAGAGAGGUCAAAGGAGUCGUCGAUCUGUCGGGGAGGGCGAGCCGGGGGAGGAGGCGACGAACGAACAGAAAUGGGUCAGGGUCCGAUACUGUGUACCACGUAUUUAUAAACUCCACGCUACAGCCGCUGCUGCUGAUAUUUUCCUUUUCCUCUUGAGCUGGUGUUUUCGUUUUAUACUCUACCGACCUGUUUGUUUGUCCUUCUAUUUCAGUUUUUUUGCAUCUGGCAAUCUUAAAAGCAUCUUUUCUGUUUACACGUGAAGCUGAGAGGCACCUCCGAACAUGCUAAACACUGUUUACACAUGAAGCUGAGAAGCACCUUCGGACGUGCUAAACAGAAAAAGUGCUUUUGAGAUUGCUAAAAGUACCAAAAACUGAAACAGAAGUCCAAACAAAUAGGCCCAGAGUCUGCUGGAUUGUGAAUUUGAAUACGCACACGGCGAAAUCAAAAUACGAAGUCAUGGCCACUAUGUUUAAAAUAAAAUUCGUGUACUUGGACAAAACAGAAGUUGUUCGGUGAAUAAAAAAACCCUAGAAAUGAUUUUCCGACGUAAUAAACGGUAUAAUAGUACUACUAGUAGUACGAGGGCUGCUGCAGCGGAGAUUAAAAAAAAACGGUGUUCGUUUUAGGUGAGCCAGGGAGAGCAUCUCUCCACGCGAAGGGAGCACACAAUUUAUGCAUGUGCAGAGAGAGAGAGCACGGAGAAGAACAACCUUUGGGUUUGCCUAAUUGCAACGGCCAACUUGUGACUUUGUGUUGUGCGCGCUCGUCGUGGAAGGAUCUCAGGCGAAAAGGAAGGUGGGGGAAAGCUCGAUUAUUCUCCGCAGCUUCAAUCCCACGCUAAGCCGCCUGGUCGAAAAGGUUUGGCUGGCCAAACCGGUUUUGCAUGGUACUCCGUAACAUGUUUUUCAAGUUUUUUAGAACUUUGGAGGAACUCGAAACAAAUUGAGAGCAUACGCUUUCUAAGAGUUGAAAAGUAUUAUUUUCGAAGCACGGGCAGUCGGGCACGGGCAUCAGAGCAUCUCCGUUGCCAGUCGCUCGAAGCGAAGAGAAAUCACGCACUUCCUCUGCUACCGAAGCGAAGGCAGGAACAAGAACAACAGCGACGAGACACAGCCAGAAAUUCGGCAUAGUAUUUGCUCAGGGCUAGAUUCCACUGUAUUCGCUGUAAUCUGGUAAAGCAUGUCGCAUGUGCCCAGACUACAGGAGGAUUUCAAGACAAGUAUCCAGUCCUGUCUUAUUUACAACAGAUAGCGUGCAAAACUAUGCUCAAGAAUCAAGAUAGAUAAAUAACACUGGAUUUCCCCAGUACUUGCUACUUCACCGAACUACGGAGUACAACUGGUAAAGAAUAGUUUCACAAGUCGGAUCCUGAGAUCACAAUGAAAGAGAAGAUACAACAGGGAGUAUUAAAUCUGCACAUGAUCACAAGGAAAUCCAGAUGCACAUGAAUCCAGACAAUAGGAAGAACAGGGAACAGUUUGACAUAUUUUUUCUAAUAAAACAGAAGGUCAGAGUUGCAUGCCUACAUUGUCAACAAAAUAAUAGAUGAAUUGCACGAACAUACCUCAACGACUCAAUGUCAACAUGGAUUUACACUAACAAUUUUUAGUCUUUGACCUUUCAUACUCUUCAGAAUUAAUUAUUACCAGACUAAAAACUACAAUGCACCUAAGAACACGAGCUUUCGCUUCAGAAUAUCCCAAGGAUGGUGGGGGCAGGUGGAGCACGCCAUCAUUGGAGAGCAAGAGCAACGCCAUGUCAUUAACUGAUCAUCUUCAAAUGAUAAUCUGUAGAAGAGACAAUGGACAAGAGUCAAUUGAUCGCUUCACCAAACAGUAACAUUACAAAUUUGCUAUACAGGCUCCAAACAAACUGAUUUUCUAUCAGUCUACGCUUAAACAUAGCAGUUAACAGGGGCAAAGCUUAACACAGGCCCAUCAGCAAUCAUGCAGAGAACAAGGCAAGGCAGAUCAUCCAUGGGAAUCACACAACAAUCCACAAGGAAGCAUGCAUUACAUUCUUUGGAAAGCCAAUCAAGAGAAAUCUGGGUUCAGCGAUCGGAAAGAUUUACAAUGGAUAAGAUAUGUCAAAAUUUCAGUACUGGAAACUUCAGUUACAAAGCAAUUUGAUAAAUCUUACAUGCCAAGACAAGUAUAGAAGAUAUAUCUUUAUAUAAUAAUACUGACUCGUAAUUGUUAGGCUUACAGCAAAAAAAAGGUUAAGUUUCAUUAAACAAGCUUAUUUAUCGGUCUCUGAGGAGCUGGGUUACCUGUAGAUAAAUGGGACCAGAAACUAAGAGGUUACCUGUUGACUCAAGCUUAUGCUUAUUUUGGCGAUACACGUACUCUUAGGCUGGACAUAAUUCACCCUAACGAUUCUCACUAAGACAUGAGAAAGGAAUUCUAGUACGGAAAGGAAGUGAAAACCAGCGCAUGUGCAUCCAAGUGACUCCUAGUGAAACAGCACAGAGAGUGUCCCAGAUCGAUUUUAACUCUGAGUCACCAAGUGGUUCGUCGGUAUCAAUUUGAUCCUAACAGAUUCCAGGCAAUACCAUCAUAUGUCACCCAGUCAUGAUUUCCAGGAAAAGAAUAUAAGUAUUUUCAUCAUACAGACAGAAUUGAAGAAAAACUAUUAUUAGACCAUACAUUAUGGUCUUUCAUUUGUCAUGACAAAAAUGUACUCCCUCCGAUCCAUAAAAGGUGACGCCCAUUUUGUACUAAGUUAGCACAAAUUUUGUACUAGGUGGGCGACACAUUUUAUGGAUCGGAGGGAGUAAUAAGAAACACUAAAAGCUCAAGAUAGAAACUAUGAUUAGUUAGUUCAAUCUUUUAAUAACACCUAUGACAUAACAGAGCUGCACAAUUAUAAUUCUGUAAAUUUUAUCACACCCAAAAACCCAGAGAACCAAACGAUAAGAUACAUAAGUACUUAAAUCUACAAUCAUAACGAGAUGGUCAACAUAUCUCAUCAAUGCACAAAAUUAAAUAGAAAAACACACGACGAAAACAUCCACCAAACAUUAUCUACUGAAGACACAAAAUAUAAAUAGAAUCUCACAAAGCCUACACCAGGAUAGAUCUUAUAUGUGAAUAUCAAUGCUCAACAGGACCGAAAGCCUUAUUUAUGAAGGUUAUCGCACAUUUGGGCUAAGGCCAUUGUAACAUAAAAUAGUCCAAAAUGCACAACAUAUGGGGUGGUCGGACUUCGGCAACGAAACUUCAGACAUACUCGCUAGAUUUUCCGAAGCAACAGUAUCUAAACUUUUUUGUUGCUAAUCCUCCGCAGCAACUCGAGCCAAUUGUUUACCAAGAUCCUUAUCGAGAUUAGCUAGAUUAUUAAACCUUGACUGUAGAUAAACGGACAUGUAUGUAACAUAUUGCUCAGAACAAUCAAGUCGGGCUCACCCAAGCUUGUUUACACCCAUAUGAAGGAAAGGCUUAUUGAAUUGCAUUGUCAGGAAAUCAGCACUUCCCCAAACAAACUGAAAGUACCUUUAUUCCACAACCUAUAAACAUCAAUGGAUAUACUCAGAACACAACAGCUUACAUGUGUGGACCUUCCCACCAUUAAGGCCAAACAUAGUAACAAUAAGUUCCACUUAUUAAAAUGUCAUUGUAUACAAGAAUGUCAGAUUAAAUUAUGCCUCUACACAAGCAUACCAAUCCUGUCACUAUCACUGAAAGUCUGAAACAUUAACUAACAGCCAACAUCAUGCCACAUAACUUGUAAUUUUAGCACAUCAACAUUAGCAUUACAGAAACAAUAGUAGCCACAGAUCACAUAAACGAACAAAAACAAUCUACAGCAAUGUUCUAAACUGAAAUGCUAAAACAUACUUUACCUAAAACCCUCGUCCGCAUCAGAGGUAAUUGGAGUUGGAAAGGAAAGGCAGCGCAGCAACGGAUGAAAUCAGCUCCACUCCACCAGCACCAUUGGAUGCAGCCCCUCCGCUCUUCUUCGUGCGCUUCACCCUUGCGAGCUUCACGUGCGCAUCGACGAAGUUCUCCAUGCGCUUCACCUCCAGCUGCUUCAGGAAGUCAAUUCGCUCGCGUUCCAUCUCUAGCGAAUGCUUUUGUUUCGCACUCUCCACGCGCUCAUACAUCUCUGCAAAAGCCUCAAUUGCCCUCGCCAGCUCGCUGACACCACUAUCCCCAUCACCGCCAGCCUCGCGACGAAAGGGACGCUUGUUGCUACCGCCGGAGCGCGCCGACGAGACAGAACGCGACGGUGACCUCCGCAAGUUGUCAUGGUGGUUGUUGUUGUUGUUACCACCAGGAUGAUCACCAGAGUCCUCCGAAUCAGACACCGCUGCAGCGGCGGCAGCGGCUUCCUGCUGGAUGAACGCAGCGGCAGGGAGCAGCGCCCCGCGGCGGUAGCUGGGGAGGGGCAGAGCCAUGGGCGGGGGCGGGGACGGCGAGGAAGAAGGCGACGGGUACUUCCUCGCGGCGGUAGAAGAAGGAUGGACGGGCAGGGCGAGGUGCGGGGCCAUCGCCGGCGAGGGCCGCUUGUUGGCGGCGGAGUUGAGGGUGGGGCCGACGAGUCGGUCGAGCUCGUCGAAGAAGCUCCAGCCCGACGGCGCGCCGCGGACGCGCUCGGCCUUGUACUUCUUCUUGAGGGUGUCGACGCGGUUCUUGCACUGCACGUCGGUGCGCGGCGGGCGGCGGCGCGCGGCGGCCCCGCGGCGCGAGUUGACGGCGUUGGCCACCUCCUGCCACUGCUUCUGGCGCAGGUUGCCGCGGUUGAGCUCCACGUAGCGGCUGCCCCACGCGUCCACCAGCGCCGCCGUCUCGCCCUCGCUCCAGCAGUCCUCCCGGUAGGGCAGGUUAGGGUUGGGCGGCGGCAGCCUCCCAAACCCUCCCCCUCCUCCUCCUCCCCCUCCUCCCGCCGCCGCCGCAGCAGCAGCCGCAGCCAUCUCCCUCACCUCCAUCGGAACCAGAUCUCGCAGGAGCAAACCCUAACCCUAGCUAGCCCGCCCGCCGAGAGAAGAGGACCGAGCGAGCCUCGGGGAAGUCGCGCGUGACGGUGGGCUAUGUGAGCGGUGGGGGGUUCGGGGUUGGAAUAAAAGGACACGGCGAGGGAAGGGGGGAGGUGGGGUCGCCGGCCGCGAGGGGUCCGGGUUCCGUCCGUCACGCACGCGGCACGUGACGCGUGACCGGCGAGGGGGGGGCGGCAUCGGCAUGGCAUAUCUCGCUCGCUCUCGUGUGUCGUGGGUGACCGGAUUCGGAUCGGAGACGUGCCGCCGUUGGAUUGCGUUUGACCGGGUAACCGGCGAUUACUUUCGGGUUUCGGAGGGCGGGUGGGAUAAUGACAGCCAGCCAGGCACAGGCAAAGCAGAGCGCGGCGACAGGCGACAGCCGGAGACCGGACGGAAUACGGUGGCUGGCGCGGGGGUGGGAAAUUACCGCGUUGCCCCUACCCCGGGGAGCAGGCCGGGGCGGCACGCGGCAGGGGCAAGGCGGGGAUUUCGCGUGGGGCGGCGCGGUGUCAGGGGGUGAGCUGGUCGCCGUUGGUCGGUUUGCGUUUCGGGGCCGCCGAAAGAGGGGAGAGGAGAGAGAGAGAAACGCGCCGAGGAUGAUGGGGAAGGGAGAGGAGACUCGCGAACCGAAGACACCGCUGCUCCUCGCUCUGUACUCCAGUCUAGGCUUCUAGCUAGACUCGGCGCGGUGGAGUGGGUGGGUGAAGAGACUGAGGCGCGGGGCCCGCGUGCAAGCAGGCAGGGCGGGCAAUUAUUGUCGCCUCUGGUGCCGUCGCUCGGUACAGAGGACGGACGGACGGACGGCGUGGGCAAAAUUUAAUCGGCGUGCAGCAGGUGCCGGCUGCCGCCUGCAGGCGCCGGUCCUUCGGAUUGAUCGGUGGAUGGAUGCACUCGCCAAUGGCAAUUCAUCCAUCAAACAUCAUUCGUUACUGUAUAUUUUGUGGCAAAUCAAGAUUAGAGGUUCAUCAUCCGUUUACCGUUUUGGUUUGUCCCCUGGCGUCAUCAUCACCGUCUGGGCUUUGGAACUGACAAUAUGGUUCUUUCGGUGAAAUUCAGGUGAAAGUAAAACUCCACCGGUAGAUAGCAGCGGCCAUGGUGCCGUCGUGGGAACAGAGCAGUACGUACGUUACGGGCUCGCGUCAAAUCCUCGACGGAACCGUGCCCGCUGCACCGGUGGGUGAACAGAACACCAUAAAUCCCUCGCGGCCGUGGAGAGAAGUCAGGGGAACCGCGUGUACGUACGUGGUCCUCUCCUGCUAGCUAUAGCUAGGCUGCCCCGUGCGACCGGCGGCGAGGAAACGGCACGCUCGGGAGCCGUCAACAUUGAAUCGGAGGGCCGGGCGGCCGCGAUAGCGUAGCGACCAGCGAGAUACUCAGUCAGUACGGGCUACUUCGGGCUGUCACGCACGCACCGAGCCGGACGGCCGGGCCGACGCGUCGGGCUUGGGAACCACCGGCGCCGCAGGGGCGGGCUCGGACCGCGUCCAACGCCGCAGGCUUUGCAAAGCUUGCGUUGCGUGUACCCCACGCUACCACGCGGGUCCCCUCCACCAAUCAAUUCCAGGCCGGACGGACGGCCGGUACCGUGUACCGACGCGUCGCCCGCCGGAUCUCCGUGGCGUUUUCCUUUGCCUUUAGUUGUGUACCCGCCCCGCUUCACGCCGGCCUUGUGCGGCAGUUGUGUACACACACGCACGCACUUGUACUACUACUGGUGGCCUUGGACUUUGCUGGUUGCUGGUGCGCACCCAGCUUUUUGCGAACGGUUCCGGGAAACGCCGGCGGAAACUUGUGCGGCGGGUCGGUCGGUUGCCGGGGAAGGAAGGAUUCUUCACACAAGCAACGUGAGAUCUGACCAAGGGGAGCAGCAGCCAGCCAGCACGAGCAGCAGUUCGGCGCUGGAGCUACGCGCGAGCUGGGGCAGGAGCUACACGCCAUGUACGUUGCGUCCCCGGGCCGGUUUGAUUUACGACCGGAAGAGCCGCAGCGUUUCCGGCGCGAUGACCGGACAAAUUAGCCGGCUUGGCCGAUGGCUAUACUAUAUCGGAUUGGACAUAUGGAGUGAUAGUGCUCCCGACAGGUAGGAGACGGACGGACGAGAGCGAGUAAACUGCUGCCUGCGACUCUGCGAGUCCUGCCGUGCACGGCUCCAUGGACGGACCGCACGUCCAUGGCCUGUGUAGCUCCGACCGCACCGGACGCAGGCAAGCGGGACGUGCUGUUCAUCCUGCAGACGGGACUGACCCAAGUUAUUGGAGACGCGUCGGCAUUGAAGCCUUUUCCAUUCUCAGGAGCAUGACGUAAUCACGGGAUCACGCACGGCGUGGGCAAAAGAUUACCAGCCGCGCCGCGCGUGCCUGACUGCCUGUGCAGCUGUGCUAUUUUGAGUGCAGAAUACAGUUCUUCAGAACCGCGCCUGUUUUUUGAGGCUAACUGAACAUGCAGUUCCAUACAAUUUCAAAACUCUACGUAUAAUACGGAAGGGUAAAAGAUACUGAGGCGGUCGAGACCACUGUCGCGACACGCGAAGCCUGAAAUCGUAGCGGAUUUACUUUUUCUUUCUCUCGGGGCAACGUCCAGCAACAGCAAGUGACUGCUUGCCGGUUCAUCUGGCCGGACUGAAGGUGCAGAACUAUCUGCUUCCAUGACCAUGUCAUCUUACUGAACUGAUGUUGAUGUUGAUCGAACGGAAACUUGGUAUUAGUGCAAUUUGCAUUUGGUAGACGGGGGGUGGGAUGAAGAAGCUGCAGCGCAUUGGUCAGGGCAGCAGAUGGAAAACGCUGGAGACGGAGGUCAAAGAAGACGCGCGUAAAGGAACCGGUCAGAACAGUGACUUCCUUACUGGAUUUAGGUGACAGGCUGAAAAUUGUUUAUACUUUGGCACGUUGCCUGGGACACAGCAGUGGACAAGUUCGGUUCGGAGAAUUCUAUCCUCCAGUCAUGUUCCUUCUCGGUGAUUAACUAUCAGCUCAUCUGCCAAUCACAUGUUCUGUGGUGACAGCAGCCAGCAAAAAUAACCGAACGGAUUAGUGAUCGCCUAGAUUAUGUAGCUCAAUUUGCAUGCGUAGUUUCAAACGGUAUAAAACGAUGCCUUCGAAGAAAUGGGAGUAGUAAAAAACAUGUGGACUCGAUUUGGGCCGGGCCGCGAUAUCUUCGGUUCUCCACCCUCUUACGCGCAGCGUUUCUUCUCAGUGUCUGCUCAUCACUUGCGUUAGCUUGUAUUGUUUGCCUUCGCUUAAUAUUAGUGCCAUGUUAUCAUGGCUCCAUCGCCCAGUCGAACGCCGGCUAUCAGUUCAAAUUAUGGAUAGUCUAUUGGCUUUGAAUAAUGCGUGUCCUUGCUCUGAUUCCGUUGAGUGUCAUUCCAAGAGUAGGUAUCUAUCAGAAGAAUUUUCAGCAAAUGUCAGUGCUGCUUGAAGUCAACGAGUACUAAUCACAACAUGUGUGAACAUUUGCCAUCCUCCUGCGGUGCACUCUGACCUGCAUUGGAGAGCUGUAUUGCAGCCUGAAGGUCUUCUUCUCUAUUCUACUUCUACAUAUCUACCCACGUGUAUAUGCAGUAUCCUCCGAUGGUUUAGCCCAUGGGCAAUGCAGUUGUCUGCUUCAAUUCUUGGUGUUUCAGAACUAGUAGUACUACUAGAUAUGAUCAGUAUGCUGGGGACAGGACAGUAUGAAUGUACGAUAGAUAAGGUCCUAGAACAUGGGCCACAGGUUAUGCAGAUCGCAGACACGAGUGUUUGGCUGGAACUGAUCUCCGAAUGCGAGACUCCGAGAAACGUUGAUGCCGCUUUCUGUCGAUCACCUUGAGCCAUUGUCCGUCUGCUGGCCUGGCAGGGAAAGUCUACGGAAUGCCAUCUCGAAAGCCAUGGAAAUUCUGUUUUGCCUGACAGAACUCUGGCGUACAUGAGCAACAGCGACCGGAGCGUGGUUUGCCUGCGUGCUUGACUGUAUGGUCACGACGAACACGAGGUGGCGACCAUCCGCCGCGUUAUCCAGGACUGCACCCGUCAGAGAAGGAUCCUUCACUUUUUGGGAAUCCAAUCACUUCGGGAUCCAUCAGAGCAGAAGACACGGCCAUUUCGCCGGCGGCUUUCCCCAUACAGUGCACAUCUCGUGAACUUCCGUCCAUAUUUUCUGGCCAAAUUUGCAAAGGAUUUGUGCUUUUCAGAGUGCAGCAAACGUAGCAAUACCAGGAAACUACGGAGUAGAAUAGGAAGGAACGUACGCCUGUUUGUUCGGGCGGCAAAGUCAGAGCGACACUCUCUCUACUUUGUUUGUUCGUCAGGCCAGGACGCCCGCCAAACCCGACAUGGAUAACUCCAUUAUUGACGAUGGAAAGUAGAAAUCUGACCCCGGGGGCACUAGCAGACGACACUAUCCACAUUGUCUUCACACACCGAGAAUAUGACAAAAUAACAUGCAUUCUUAAUUCACCUAUCGUCCCCAGUACACACCAUCAGAAAACAUCUUCGAUCUUCUAAGGCGUGGAUGCAUUAGGGGUGCGUAUAAAAAUAAUCAUACUCCUUCCGAUACAUAAAAAGUUUCCCACAUUUAGUACAAAAUAUGUACUCCCUCCGUCGAACAAAGGAUGUUUCAACUUUGAUUAAAUUUGAAUGCAUCUAUACACUAAGUCAUGUCUAGAUACAUUUAAAUUUUGACAAACUUGAGACAUCUUUUGUUGGACGGAGGGAGUACUAAUUUUAGUACAAAAUGUGUGACACUUUUUAUGAAUGGGGGGAGUAUCUCCUAGACUCUUUUGAUUCAAAUGAGUUAAUCCUUCAGAAUUUUUUCUAUGUAGGCUUAUUUCAUUCGUAGGAUUAGAUUUUAGUGGAAAUUUGCCUAUGGUUCACUUUGCACUGCAGUGAUGCAAACCAGAUUCCGCGAAAACCCACUUCUAGUUCAUUUUUCAAAUCUUCAAUUCAAAUUUUGAGCAAAAAUUUGGAUAAAAGACUUGAGAAUUGAACUAAAAGUUGACCAUCAAUGGGAUCCCGUUUGCAUCUCUACUGCUCUCAAUUCCAAAGUAAAUUUUCCAUCUAAAUCUAAUCACUUGAAAAAAUUCCUUUGUUUCCAUGAUAACUAUACCAAUGCACGUAAUGUUUUUCUCUGUUUUUCCUCUAAUGCUAGAUUGAGUCUGUUUUUCCUUUAAUGUUUUUCCAACUCGAUUAGUUUAUUCAGGUGGUUUCUUCCUGUAGAAAACAACAUAUCAUGACAUUUCAAUCUUGUGUUUGCUAUUUCAGGGCUCAUUCACUCUACAUGCGUUUUAGAUGAUUUUUCUACAAGAUUUCAACUCUUACACCUUGUUUGGCACAUGUGGGUUUCUUACGUUUUCUAUUUCUACUCUACAAUCUUAAAAUCAUGUUCUCCUUCUGACCUUUGUUCUCAAAUUUAUCUAAAUACGGAUGUAUCUAUGUUUAAAAAAUGUCUAUAUAUAUUUAUAAUAUUUCAGUAACUAAUAUGAAUCGGAGCAACUAACUCGAACGAGCCCUCGGUGUUUGAAUAUUUAAAUACUCCUGAAUGCAAGUAUAGUUCUGCACUCCUACUGCAGCUUGCUACCACGAAACUAAACAUUUCUCUUUCUGCAGCCCCCGACUCGAUCUAGCCGCAGUCCAUGUCGUUCUUUUCGCCCUGGCGUGUGCAAGAGUCGAACCCAUAGUGUGAACAAUUGAGUUAGGCACGAGCCGGAGAGGAGGAGAAAGGACAAAUUAUUGCUCAGAUUAAUCAUCACCUCGAUCGUUGCGGCGCAAUACCGUUAUAUAACGACGGAAUACGGGCCCACACGUCAGUGUAAAGCGAGCUGCUUGCCGCUUUCUCCCUCUUGCGUGACGCCGUCGCCGUCCAGAGCCAUCUGGCCACCGGGCUCCCAGCCCCCCACAGAUGUGCCCCCUGCAUGCGCGCCAUGUAUCAGCCUCUGAUACGUCAGGCCAGGAACCAUCCUCAGCCGUCAGUUCGUCCAUCUCGACGGCUGCGAUCGCGCUGCCGCCACUUAUAAAUAGCACCGAUGCACGCGCGAGAAAGUCCGUUUUACCUUGCUGGGGGGGGGGGGUUUUACUUACAUGAGCGCGGGAAUGGAGGCGGAGCUGGAGGCGGCUCAGCGGCGCUUCCGGCUCUGGUUCCGCGGGCUGCGUUCCCUGCGGCGGGACCUCCGGUCGGCCCGCUGGGCCGGCGACGACCCGGCCCAGCUGGGGAAGCUGGCGGGCGGCUUCGUGGCCCACUUCUCCGACUACUGCGCCGCGCGGGCCGAGCUGGACCCGGUCCUGCUGCUGUCGGCGCCCUGGGCGAGCCCCGCGGAGCGUGGCGCCGCCUACUGGCUGGCCGGGUGGCGGCCGACCACGGUGGUCCACCUGCUGUACACCGAGUCCAGCCGCCGGUUCGAGGCGCAGCUCCCUGACCUGCUCCUGGGCGUGCGGUCGGGCAACCUGGGCGACCUCAGCCCGGCCCAGCUGGCCCAGAUCGACGAGCUCCAGCGCCGCGCCGUCGCCGAGGAAGACGCGCUCUCAAGGGAGAUGGCGCGGCUGCAGGAGGGCCACGGCGUCGUUGGCGGAGACGGGGAUCUGGACGUGGAGGGGAUCGUGAGGCGCGCCGGGGCCGUGGUGGCAGGGGCCGACGCGCUGCGGCUGCGCACCUUGAAGCGCGCCGUGGAGAUCCUCGAGCCGGCGCAGGCCGCCGAGCUGCUCGUCGCCAUGGCCGACAUGGAGAUCGGCUUCCGGGAGUUCGGGCUAAAGCACGGCGACGGCGGUGGCGAGCCGAGCCGCGGCGCGUAGGCAUAGGCGUGGCGCGGUCCAGAGAGCAGAUCCUCAUCCGCAUCGGCGGCUCGGCCCAGUUUUUUUCUUCCAAGUGUUUGCGCUGGUUUGACUGGGACAGAAAGACUGCUCACUGUUGUAAUCUUGUUGCCGUGACGAUUGUCUUUGCCGAACUGUCUCGCGGUGGGUGCUGCGUCGUAGCUGGACCGUGUGCGUGUGCGUGUGCGUGCGCGUGCGCCUGCUGGGAUGUCGUGUGAGAAAGCAAUAAAAUGCAAGGAAUGCAUGCUUGGUUUCGUUGAGAAGUCAUAUUUUGUUUUCGAGCAAGCGGUUUUUUUAACAUCUUUUCCGAUAAAUUGGCUGUUUGUCUGUUCACUACAGAAGACCCGUCCUUUUAAAAACGGUUUUGCUAUUAAUAAAUCCAUGUUUUAGUUAGAGUAGUCAUAGGAUUUUAAUCCAAUGAUAGCAAGUGAGAGAUGAGAGAACGAGGAUGACUCUCAGAUCUCCAGCAGUUAUGAAACGUCGACUGAUAUUUAAGGUUCAUUUUUUAAAAACUUGCGACUUAGAAAUAGCCAUACCCAUUUAAAAAACGUGUUAAAUCUUAUUAAAAUAAGAUUCUGAUCGAUAACUUAUUUUUAAUAGGUAUUGCUACGGAAAAGUUGUUUUUCUAGUUAAAGAUAAGUUGAAACACCAACUGUCAUAUCUUGAUCCAACGGCGGCACAUUGAAGAUGGGGUGUAGCUGCUAGCUUCGGCAUUGAAGAUGGCGUCAUGGUAGGGAGAAGCUAUCAAGUUAUCCGAGAUAGAGGAGGCACUGAUGGAACACAUCCGCUUGCUAGGCUUGUAAUCGGACAAAUAAUUCAAACAGCUUUGCUAUUCAUAAGACAAUUGAGAAAUAAUUAUUUUCAAGCCGACGCUAACAAUCGUUUAAUCCAAUCUCUGAUAUGUGUGAGAUCUAUACAAGUGUUGUUGACUGAAAAUAACUGCUUCCUCCGCGCCUGGAUACUCGUCGUGGUCCGGAAAUCCAACCAGUUGUUCGUUCGAGCCAGAUCCAAACGACACCGGACAGACAACCACGGGCGGUUCUACCGUGCCGCACGGUCACGCGCCCAAUUAACCGGCCACACGGCCAAGCGAAUCCAGGAUUAAAAAUAGGAAUCGCGUACAAUUACCGGCCACCCAGCCAGGCAGCCCGCAACGAUAAACCAGCAGUCUCCCGCUCCAUGUUUGGGAGCCAUGCCCAACUACAAACCCAACGUUUCCAAGCUGGCCGCCGCGCCCCGCGACAUCCACACGGCAGAUUAACCCUUCUUCUCCUUUCCUUCCUUCCUCCCUCUCCGCGCGCGCGCGACCUCCCGCAGACCCGCCUCCGCGAAUCUAGCCACCCCCGCGCGUGCGCCACGCACCGUCCGUCCGUCGGACCUCGGCCGGGCCGGCCCGCGGUCGUCGGCGCGCGGAGGGCGUUCGUGAGAAUGCGUGCGGCGGCGAUUGGUUGCUAGCUAGCUAGCGGCAUGCCUGGCAUGAGCGCGUGAUGGCGCCGCCGUUCCUGAAGACCGGGCACGGCCGCGACAGGUUCUCCUUCAGGCGGCGGAAAUCGUCCUCCUCCUCGUCCUCCUCGUCGACGCCGUCUUCUCCGCUCUCGGUGUCGUCCACAGCGUCGGAGGACAUCGCCGACCCGGGCAGCCCCAUGGAGUCGUCAGCGACGACGGGCAAGACGCUGCCCUGCGCCCGGCGGGCGCUCUCGCGGAGCAGCUGCGGGUCCAGGGGCAAGCUGUCCGUCGACCUGAUCCCGCCGCCGCUCGCCGGCGGCCCGUCCGACGCGCCCAGGUCCUCCACCUCCGCCGCGCCGCCCCCCAAGCCUCCCCCCCGCAACGAGGGCCCGCCUUCAGGUCUCACCAUUGUUAAUUUUCUAGUGUCUGUCUGACUUUCUGUCGUCAAAUGCAGAGAAAUGCCUUGUUAUGUUUUCGUGAUCGAUUGCAUGUAUCCAGAUGCUGACAUCGUGAGGGACAAGUUCUCCAAGCUGCUGCUGGGGGAGGACAUGUCCGGCACCGGCAAAGGGGUGUCCUCUGCCCUCGCUCUCUCCAACGCCAUCACCAAUCUUGCAGGUAAUCUCUCCCUUACCUUCCAUUUCCGAUCUUUCCAUUUCCAAUAACAGUCCCUGUCUUUCAAAUCUUCCCAUUCUGUCCGUUGGGUUCUGAUGGAUACUGACACGAUCAGCUAUGAUUUCUUUCUCAUGACGUGGCACAUUGCAGCUUCCGUGUUCGGUGAGCAGCGGCGUCUCCAGCCGAUGGCCGCAGAGCCGAAGGCCCGAUGGACAAAAGAAAUUGACUGGCUUCUGUCCGUUGCCGACCACAUCGUCGAAUUCGUUCCUUCACGUCAGGUGUCCGAGGAUGGCUCCACCAUGGAGGUCAGAAACAAGAGGAUCCUUGCUUAUCACAAGUACCUGGAUGUAGUUCUGUAUCACGGAACAUCUUUAUGCAAAUCCAAUUACAGCGGUGCUAUUUUUCUCUCUCUCCCCCCAAACAGAUAAUGAUGACUCAGCAGCGUAAGGAUCUGCAGAUGAACAUCCCCGCACUGCGCAAGCUCGACGGGAUGCUCCUUGUAAAGCUCUGCCACAUUCUUCUUUGAAAUCAUUUACGAGAAUGACAUGCGUGGAGAUACCUGAUGAAUUGCUAAUAUGCUAUGGCUGCACAUUUCCUGUUGUGGGGGCACAGAGCUAUCUUGACAGCUUCAGGGACAAGCAGGAGUUUUGGUACGUGUCGAAAGACGCAGAUGACUCGGAGAAGGGAGACGCGCCGAAGCAGGAUGACAAGUGGUGGCUCCCGACUGUCAGGGUCCCUCCUAAUGGUCUGUCGGACUCGUCGAGGAGGUGGCUUCUACACCAGAGGGAGCUCGUCGGCCAAGUCCAUAAGGCAACAAUGGCCAUCAAUGCUAAUGUUCUUAUGGAGAUGGAUGUUCCAGAAGCCUAUAUGGAGUCUCUGCCUAAGGUGACCCAUAUGAACACAGCAACAUUGCAUAACAUUUUUCUUUACUUCGGUUCACUGCAUUUAGAGGGAUCGAGACUCACUUUGACAGCAUCUUCUUUUUUUAUGCUUGAUAGAAUGGAAAGUCUAGCCUUGGAGACUCAAUGUACAAGCUUAUAACUGACGAAUAUUUUGACCCAGAAGAACUCAUAGCAUCAGUAGACUUGUCAGCCGAGUACAGCAUCGUUGAUCUGAAGAACCGAAUCGAAGCCUCGAUUGUCAUUUGGCAGAAGAAAAUGACGCAGAAGGAUGCCAAGAUGUGGGGGCAUGGUGUCAGUCAUGAGAAGCGGGGACGGUUUGAGGGGAGGGCGGAGAAUGUUCUUCUCCUCCUUAAGCACAGAUUCCCCGGAAUUUCUCAGUCAGCUCUGGACAUAAGCAAAAUCCAGUACAACAGGGUACUGGCAACCAUCUUCAAUUUUCCACUGUAUUUUCGGAUUUCCUACAGUACUUUAUUACUCAUGCUCAUUGCAUACAUUUUCUCGUUGUGAUUUUUUUGCAGGAUGUUGGCAGUGCCAUUUUGGAGAGCUACUCCAGGACUCUUGAGAGUCUAGCAUACACGGUUAUGUCUCGCAUCGAAGACGUUCUUCGCGCCGACUCCCUUGCUCAAGACCCCAAGAACGCGGAGGCGACGAGAAUGCCGAGCUUAUCAUCAGAUGACACAGACACGGUCGUCCAAGAUGCCAAGGACGAGGUGGAGAGGCUGGGAAGAAUGGAGCCUCUGAACUCGACACUAUUCGACUACGUGGGCCCACGGGACGGAGAUAUCGGGCCCAUGAUGUCGGAUUCACAGGAACCUCGGGGUGCAAAGCUGUCAAAGGUUUCGUCGAUCGCAACCAAGAGGUUCUCCUACCUAGAUAAGCUUGAGAAUUUGGGUGGAACAAGGAGCCCCAUAUCUAGACACUAGUCGCUGCCGUAGGGGAAAAGACGAUCAAUAUGGUGUUGAUGUUGCUGCAGAGACUCCGGGGAAAACUGCACGUAAAUAGCUCCGCAAAAACUGAGGGUGCAGCAUGCAUUGUGAGGUUUAUGUAAGCUUUCAAGCUUUCAGGCACCAAUACCUCCAAUUUGGUGCAGUUGCCAAGACAAUGUGAUGACGAUUCUCCUGCUAAAUUUACAUGAAAUAACCACAAGAUUCUGACACUGGACCUGAAAAUGGACCUCCAGAUUUUCUUACUGUACUUCUGUAGCAAAGUUUUGUGGUUCCAGUAAAGUGUUUGUUAUCUUAGACUUGACUUGCAGACCAUGCUUGGGUUCGGCUAGUGUUCUCCCCACGUACAAUUUAAGAGGGUAAUAACAUAUCACUGAACUUGGAGAUCGAUCUGUGUUAGCUUCUGGCGUUCUAGAUCGGCACUGUAAUAAGUAACUGUAACUGUACCAUGGCUCUAUGCAUUGGGAAAUUAAAACCACUCGUAUGAGUAAAUCAAUUUACAGGAACAAAUGAGCAGUAAAAAGCAUCCUUCCGGUUGCUGAUAGUACGUGCAGCUAGGCACGCCAUAUGAGUACAUACAACGAAGGACUUAACGUCCAGAUACGCAGAUCCAUGGUACACAAGCACAGGCAUAUGCAGGAACAGAUUCAGAGAGAGAGAGAGAGAGAAAGAAACUGAAACCAAAGCUUUAAUCAAAUCAGAUCAGAUCUUGCCGCGUGGGCCGGGGGUGGGGGGAAGCUGCGGCCCCUUCUUGAUGGGCAGCAGGUCCGGCGACGUGGUGGCGCCGAGGUAGGCGAUCAGGGACCCGCCGCCGAGGAGCAGGAACUUGAGCAGCAGGCCGCGCUUGGUGAAUGGCGCCGCGAAGGUCUGGAAGAACUUGCUCUGCAGCCCGUUGUAAGGGGACGGCGCGUCGGACCCGUACAGGUCCCACUGCCCCGUCGUGUUGCCGAUGUCGUCCAGGUCGAAGUACACGCUCUUCUCCCCGUACUUCGCCUGCACCGCGACGCCUCGUGCAGGCCUGCAGGCGUACGCGCACGCGUAUAUAUACGGUUAUUUAUACGUAUGUACAUACGCUCGAUCGAUGACAUAUUAGCUCGCUUCACGUGCGUACCUGCGGGUGGAGCGGCAGAGGGAGGACGGCCGGGCGGUGGCGGCGAGCUUGCGGCCGGACAUGGAACUGCCGGCCAGGCCCUUCACGGCGGCCGACGGCUGGACGGCGACGAGCGACACCAUUGUUGUAACAGUGGGAUGUGUUCUGAGCUUCUUUUUCUUUUUUUUUUUGCUGCGGGUUACGUGCGCGAACUUGAUCCAGUGCUGGGGAUAUUUGGAAGGUGUGCUGCUGCGGGGCUGAUCAGGUUUGGGUGGGAGAGGCUUGGCGGGGAUGGGCGAGGCCCCCAUUGGGAGCGCGCCACGCGGCAGGGUUCCGGAUAGGCUUAUCCUGAUCGCUUGAUUCUUGGGAGGGAUGACAUGGCGCGGCCAACGUGGCACCGGAGCUUGCGUGGGGUUGUCCAGCUGGGAACGGGCGUCGGAAAAGAUCUCACCAGAUGUCCCCGACGGCAUCGAUCGAUCGAUCACGGUCUCACUGAGAUAUGGUGGGCCGGUGGGCCCAGAAGCCCUCUAGCUAGGUGCUAGGACAGUGCACGUAACGUACUCCGUAUUGAUCAUUGAAGGAAAGUAAAGAGAGAUAGGUAGAGAAGGACGUCCACGUACUCCGUUGCAUUUUGCAAAUGUUGCACGUACGUACGUAUCAGCACCAGGAUACAUAUGCAACGUGGGCAGGCAGAGUACGUAUAUUGUAGUGUAACGUAUUGCUAGUCGAUCUUAAGCACCUUCCGCUUGGCCGGGGAUACUAAUUAACCGGUAAAUACGGCGGAAGGGAUGUGUACAGGCGCGAUAUAUACAGUGGAUCCAGAUCUGAGAUCGAUCUAGCUGAGCCUUGCGUACGUGCUAUAUACACAUCCUCAUCCGCGAUGGGCAAGCGCAUGCAUGCAGGGUACGCUUCUACGACAAUGGAGCAGCAAAGGAAUUGACGCUACGCUACGUACAGCGAAUCGAUCAUGCACGGAUUUGCGAAUCGAUAUCUUCACGAUGCAUGGCCACAGGCAGGAUGGCGCACAAGUGUGCUGGGAGCGAGAAGACGCGACUAAAAAAAUAUGUGAAUGCGAUGAGCCGGGCCAGGCUGCCAGCUUUAAGCCCAGAUCCAGAGCGACAAGCAAGCCGUUGUUGCACGCCCAACACUACCAACAUGGACCCGCUUUUUUUCGGCGGGCCUGAAUCCACCGUCUAUACUGAUGCCCUCUGGCCCAAACGAGAAAAGAAAUACCAUACAGUACGGCCGUUUGUUUUUUGUGGGUAUACUGUACACAGGUUGGCGCGGCUAACGAAGAUGCGAGGGCACAGGGAGGCGCACCUUCCUCGGUUCAGUUCAGUUCAGUUCAGGCCGAGAUCCACCGAUCCGCGCGCGCACAGCGCACCGGUGAGAAAGCCAGCACCGACGACGCGGCGCCCCCACGCCACCAGCCAGCCACCGGCCAAACGCACUAACCAAAACCUCGCCGUCGUCGUGCGCUCCCGCCGAACCCCACCCUAGUUCUCUCCCUACUACAUCUCCACGGCGGGAGCUUUGCGCAGCUCUCCCCCGCUCCCCGUGCCACACUCGCUCCUGCACCUCCCGCUCCCCGUCUCCCUUCCCGGCCUGGGGCGUCGGUCCCCAAUUCGGGUCGGGGGGCGCCGAGGUCGCGAGGCGGAUCAGGAUCUGAUCCCGCGCGGCCGGAGCGGGAGCGGUGGGUCGGUCGAUUGGGCGGCGCCGGGAUCAGAUCUAUGCGCGAGAUCUAGCCGGGCGUGCGGGCGGCUGCUGGUGAUCGGAGCCGGACCCGGAGGGGAGUGAGGGAUGGCGUGGUGGUCGGGGAAGGUGUCGCUGGGCGGGCUGCAGGACAUCGCCGGCGCCGUGAACAAGAUCAGCGAGAGCGUGAAGAACAUCGAGAAGAACUUCGACAGCGCGCUCGGCCUCGAGGAGAAGCGCGACGACGAGGAAGGUAUGCGCCACUCAUGCUAAAGCCGCCCCCCCCCGACCCGACCCCUUUCCUCCCGUGUAGCCGCCUAGCCGGGCAGCAUUGGUGCAUGCUUGGCUGCGUGCAAGUGUCGAUUGGGAACUGCGAUGGGAUUUUUUUGGUUGAAUACUGCACUGGGUCAUGGGAUUGUCACUGGCGGUAAUGCUGUUUGUAGCGUUGUUCAUGCGAUGAUUGGUUAGUUAGCUAUCGAUAGUGUAUACUGACUGAUGUGAUUGUAGGAAGCAGAAGUUUGAAUUCAGGUCAUCGCUGGUUCCAUUGCUCUCGCAGCUUCUUAUGUAGAUAGAUUAUUGCUUAAGUCUCGGACUCUGUAAAUUGGUCAAGCAAAACCCCAGUCCCUAAGUUUCGUAUUUAUCAGCUGCUGCAUUAUUGAUCAUUGAUUGGUCUAGCCAGAUCAUAAAAACUUAUACAUACUUCUUAGUAGCGUUGGCAUUACAACAGAUUUUGUAUUGCUCUUUCCUUUUGAGAAGUAAUGGAACUUGGAGGCAGUGAAUUCAUGCCUAUUCUCAUAACUUUUUUCCAAUAGUUUUUGUUCUGAGUAGCAUCGCUAGGAUGAGCAUAUUUGGAGAAUAUAUAGCUUCUAAUUGUUCAUUUACAUGGCUAACGUGAGACCCAAAAAAUGUGUUUUUGGGUGAUCCAGGAUCAGGAUCACGUACAUCCAACUCUGAUGGAAUAGGAUUCUUUAAUCCUGUCAUGGCAUUUAUGGGACAAAAUGGUGAGGAGAACUCUACGGAAGUAUCAGAAAAGCAACAAUUGCCAAUACAUUCGUCAGCAGAAGAAGAAAAUCAUAGGGUCACCACCGAGCCAGCUACAUCUGAAGCAGAUGCUUCUGAAGUAUCAGUAACAACCCAAUCUCCAAAGCAGCUUCCAAAAUUAGAAGAGAAUGUCAGCAGCUCCACUGAGCUACCUGUAUCUAAGGUGGAUGUUCCUGACCAAUCUGUAACACCGCAAGCUCCAACACAUCCUUCAGCAUUAGAAGAAAAUAAUGGUGGCUCCACUGAGUCACCUACAUCUAAGGGGGCAACUUCUGAAGUAUCAGAGACACCGCAGUCCCCGAUACAUCCAUCUAUAGCCGAAGAAAAUUCUAGUGGCUCCAUUGAAACUAGUAACUCAGUUGAGAGGGAAAAUCAGGGUCACGAAGGUAAUGAAUAUUCUGAUCCCAAUGACGAAGCUUUACCGAGCCAGCUUGGAGUGUCCGGCAGGGACAUACCUGGUGGUGGAACAUCUUCACCUAAUAAAUUAGAUCAAUCAAGUGUUAUUGGAGCAGAAGAAUCUAUUCAUGAUGGAAAGGAUGACACAAAUGGUAACCAGUCACAGCCAGCAGAUUCCACGGUAGCCAGUUCAGAUGAUGUAAAUGAAGGCAAUAAGAUUGGUCAAGAAUUUGAUGCCCAAAAGGAAAUAAUCAGCCCACAUGAGAGCAAUGUUAUCGAUGACAAAGCCAGUCAUGUGGAAGUCAAGUUACAUGACGACGCUGCUGAGAAUGAAGAAGAAAACAGUCAAACAGAAGCACAUGCAGUAUCUGUUGUUGAAAAUGUGGAUAAUACAGUGUUGCAACUUGAAAACCCUACCUCAAAGUCGAUAACUAUGGAUGAUGAUUCAGACUCGCAAAAUGAGUUAGCACCCGCUUCUGUACAUGUUCCUGUUGGUCUUGUAGAAGUUGGUUCUCAUGCAAAUGAUUUGAGAAAAGAAGAAAAGAUUCAUGACUCUGUAACAACCAUAAAUUCUCGAGAAUCUGUUGGUUCUGUUGUUGAACUAGAGAAACUAAGACGUGAAAUGAAGAUGAUGGAUGCUGCAUUGCAAGGUGCUGCAAGGCAGUCCCAGGUAUCAUUUCCAAAAUCCACAUGCUCUAGCAUCUACUGUAGCAAUUAAGUUAGUAACAUGUUUGGUUGAGGAACUAGACAGUGAGUAUAUCAUCCGAUUCUAGCCCACUUGUUUGGGUUGAGGAAUAGACUCGGUUAGUCCAACACCACUUCAUCCUUCAUAUGCAUGAGAUUGGCACUAAUGGGAAUUGAGUCAUCCCACCAAUUUGAUUGAUCAUCCCAUGUUGAGGCAACUCAUCUUGGAUUGAGGCAAUCCCUCGAACUAAAUACCCCCUUGAUGCAUGUGUGGUUGAACUUGUACAUUAUGAAAGUUACUCCUGGAUGAUUCAACUUGGAAGCAAACCUUUAGUGCAAUCUGUUUGAACCAAUGAGUGCUUGCUAAAUUGUCUGUAUAUGUACCUUUUUAUUCAGUCUGAAUCUAGUUUACCCGUGAUGUGGAUUCAUCUCAUAUUUUCCUUUUUUUGGGGUGUCAUGCUUUACGGAAAAAAACAUAAAAUAUGUACAGUUAUCUAAUAUUUCAAAGUGCUUUGUAGUGUCAGAAAGGAGCAUAUCAUGCAAUUAUCUUUCUUCUUUUCUGAGUAUUAUAUUCUGAUGCACCGAGCCGGUCAUGAGGUAUUAUGUGCUUCAGAUGCGUUCUUAACAAUGAUCGUCAAAACAUUGUAUAAUUUGAAUGGCCUAUGGCCCCAUGUUAGUCAUUUCUUUGCAACAUACAUGACCCUUCACCACCUAUUUAGGUUCUAACAACACUUUAUUUUUCCUACAGUCCAAAGCUGAUGAAAUUGCUAGACUGAUGAAUGAAAAUGAGCAAUUGAAAUCAGCAAUUGAUGAGCUCAAGGUAUGUUUGCUAAGCAGAUUCCUUAUCUUUUGCCUUCUGGACAUAAACAUUUGGGAUGUCUUUCAGUUAAUUAACAAAAAAAGGAUGCCUUCGGUUUAGUAAUCACCACAAUUUUGAGUUGAAUUAUGUGAAAAUAAACAAGAUAAAUACUGAGUUGCUUGGCAGCUCCUUUAGCCUUUGAUGAGUGUUAUAAUAAAUUUUUUUACUGUACAGGGUAAGUCAGCUGAAGAAGAAAUGGAUGCUCUCAAGGAUGAAUAUCACCAAAGAGUAGCAACUCUUGAAAGGAAGGUGAGACACAUUACUUUUGUUACUCAGUGCUACUAUUGACAGUUGAUCAUUGCGUAUUGCAUACGGCAACCUGAUUUAGGACUAAUAAUCAUGGAGAACAGAUAGAUACAAGUGCGCUAAAUGCCGCUAAGACCAGAGGGUUGAUAAACAAUAUACGAUAUUACUCACAUACAAUAUUGUAAUUACUAAUUACAAUCUUCAUGCUUUUUGUGCGGUGGUAGGCCUGGUAAUGGGGCUAAGCCCGCACCGAAUCCAAACCACACCAUAACAUCUCACGUGUAUUUCCCAAUCGCAACCAAACCAGAAGUGAAAUUAGAAAACCCAAACCACACCGCACCGUACGACUUCUCCAUCCAAUCCGCACCAAACCAAUUCAGAAACCGCAGGCUCCGGCACCACGGUCAGGCUUCGAUGGAGAUAGGCGGAGGGAGGCAGAAGCGGGGAGAUUGAAGGGCGACCGGUGGCGGAGGGUGUUGGACCUUGGGGACACUGGCGACGUGCAGAUCGGGAGGAAAAUGAUGUUGGGGAGCAGAUUGGGAGGAAGACGAUGUGGGGGAGCCGGUUACAGUUUACGAAGAAGAGGAGGCAGGGGGCGCCGGCGGCGGAGCGCCGGAUCAGGCAAGGGCGGCUGGCGGUGGAACGCCGGAGCAGGCAGGCGACGACAUCGGGAGGAAAACGAUGUGGGGGAGCCGGUGACAGUUGACAAGGAGGAGGAGACAGGGGGCACCGGCGACGGAGCGCCGGAUUAGGCAAGGGCGUCUGGCGGCGGAACGCCGAAGCUGGCAGGUGGCGGCGAGCGCAACCCCGUCACCAUCACAAGGGGAAGUUGAGGCCGUGCCAUCAUGGUCUUUGUUAUUCCAAGUGGUGUUCAUGGGCUGAAACCAAGGUUGGAGACCACGGUCUGAGCCCAAUUCAGUUCUAGACCGGUCCAAACCAAACCGCACCAGUCCAAACCGCAUUUGUACUAAUACCAAACCAGCCCAGACCGAUUUUCUAUCCCAUCCAUUUGAAACCGCACUGUUUGAACCCGCAUGCAAAACCCGCACCAAAAAAACCGAACGAACCUGCACCAUUACCAGGCCUAUGCAGUGGCUCUAUUUUGUUAUUCUUUUUUUUUGCAUUCUUUGUUUUAAUGGUAAAAUAAUCAAAGAUUCUCUUCUGUGCUUUAAACUUUGAACUUUAUGUUAAUGGUAAAAUCAUGGUAAAAUAAUCAAGCUAUUUAGCUACACUUUGAACUUCUUUUUCCUGCAAUUCUUCUAUUGUUGAACCCUUUGACUAGCUGGGGCGCAAUUACAUUUAUUGCACUAUGGUUAAUUUUGUUUUUCUCUUAAUUCAGUUCAUCAAGAAAUUGAGUUGAUAUUUAAUACUAAAGUUGUGUUUAGAGUGAGGCAAUGAGCUGCAUUAGUAAGGUUCCUUAGAAUGCUAUUGUCAGAAUCUCAUAAUCCUCUAUGUCAUUUUUUGUCCCUUCCGGGUUCAUAACUUAUAUUGCCAGUGUCCUUGUUCAUAUAUACAAUUAAUCUUGUGCAUAGCACUGAAAUGUUUGUAAUGUGCAUGCCUCAAUGUGUGUAGGUUUAUGCACUAACCAAAGAACGAGACACAUUGAGGAGAGAGCAAAAUAAGAAAAGUGACGCGGCUGCUCUUUUGAAAGAGAAGGACGAAAUUAUCAGUCAGGUUAUGGCUGAAGGUAUGCAUAAUUGUGAUUUUUAUGCUUACUGAACAUAUUUUAACUAAUGUUAAGUCAAAAUAUGUUCUGUUGUAUUGUUGAAAACAAUAUGAAAUUGCCUUUUCUAUUAUUUAAAGACAUCCAGUGAACAUUCCAAAUAUUAAUGUUACCAUACGUUAUGUUGCACCGUGUCGAGCACCCUUUAUUGAUUAGAGUCAUUUCAAUCGUGACUUCAAUGAUCAUGCAUGAAUAUGUACAUAUUAGUAAGAUUAGAAAAAUAUGUAAUUGCCUCCAGAACAUGGAUAUAAGACCAUAAAAAUGACAUCACAAACUUUUAAACCACCUAUCACUUCUGUAUGGGCCUGUACUCUGCAGUUUAUCGUGUGAUAUUUGGAAGUUUUGUGUCUUUAAGCUAGCCUUGGUUGAGUGCCUUACUGCUUUGGUUGGAGCUGAAGUCCUUGGCUCUCUGCUGUAAGGCUCUGAUCUGGCUACCAAUGGUAGUUGUAGAUAACUAGGUAUUAGGCAUGCACAUUUUCUUUGUGAAAAGGGCCUAAUGCCCUAAUGUGUAAGUUUGCCGUUAUUCCUCCAUCCGCUGCUUUAGACCAUGUACAUACUAUAGCCCCCCAUGUGAUCAUGUUCACCUUUUUAGUAUGUUCUGGACCAUGAUUGGCAAUGACACUAACAUCUUGUUUUUACCAAUGGAACAGGCGAAGAGCUAUCCCGAAAACAAGCUGCUCAAGAAGCUACUAUACGGAAACUGAGGACGCAGGCAUGGGAUAUGACUCUAUAACCAUACUACUUCAUCAAAAUUAUAAAGUAGGUUUUACCAAAGUAAUCAAGUUUGCUUUCUUUUUUUUGGUUGAAGCUAGGUUCGUGAGCUUGAAGAAGAAAAACAGCGGAUGAACUCAAAGAUCCAGGUAAAAAGGAAAAUCAACUUUGUUUUAUUAAUGAAUGAAUAAAUAAAUUAAUUGACCCCAACUAAAUUAUUUUCUUAUCUGCUUUAAUAUCAUAAAGUAUUUUUCUUUGCUGUUUGCAUGAUUAAAAAAAUCAUUUCUGAAGCUAUUUUUUAUUGUUUGUUUAUUCCUAUUUGUUUUGUUCCAUUUGAACAGUAGUUUGCAUCACCCGUACAGCUUGUUUACAGUUUCAUGAGUUCGUUACAGUCAGACAUGCUUUUUUCUUUCUUACUUGGUUGAUGGGCAACUCUGAAAUAUUGCACUCAGAGAUUAUGGAGUUGAUCUUCAUCCUUUUUGUUUGCUCUCAGGCUUCAAGUGCAGUCACUAACUCAGCAAUUUUCUGACUUUACAGGUUGAGGAGACAAAGGUUGAGAGUAUUAAAAGAGACAAGGCAGCAACCGAGAAGUUGCUACAAGAAACAAUAGAAAGAAAUCAAUCUGAACUUGCAGCUCAGAAGGAGUUCUACACAAAUGCUCUUAGUGCAGCAAAAGAGGCUGAGGCAUUAGCUGAAGCAAGAGUCAACACUGAAGCCAAAGUUGAGCUUGAGAGCCGUUUGAGAGAAGCUGGUGAAAAAGAAAACAUGCUGAUUAACACAAUUGAUGAGUUGAGGAAUGCUCUCACCAGACAAGAACAGGAGGUAUGCUAUGAAAAUAUUCGUCUGCACCUGUGCAUCUGUAGUUCAACAUCCUCGGUACAAAUAGUGUGUAUAUUGUGCUGAUCUAACCAUAAUCUACAUUUGACUCCUGGAUAAAAACUUCAUCUGAUAAUUAUUGUUUUAGCUGCCCACUUUCGAUUCACUGAUUGCAAGUAUUUCUUUCGUGGCAUUUCAGGCAGCUUUCAGGGAAGAAAGGCUAAAAAGGGAUCAUGAUGAUCUUCAAAAGCGGUACCAAGUAAGCUCUUCUGUUUUAGCUGCUACUACAGAGUACUGUAGUCAUGGACCAAUUCUCAAUUUCUUUCAUUAUUUAAUACUUCAGGCCAGUGAACUUCGUUAUAAUGAACUGGUUACACAAGUUCCUGAGUCGACCAGGCCACUCCUAAGGCAAAUUGAAGCCAUGCAGGUAUGAGUGCUUGCUUUGGAUUUUCCUUGUGCUGUAAUUGUUUCGCUGUUCUUCUGUUAGUUGGUGUAUGCAUCCGAGUCUGUGAAUUGAGUUUUUCUGCUGUUGUAAGUUGGCUAAUCAGUUGUGUUUUAAUUUUAACAGGAGUCAGCUGCUCGAAGGGAAGAAGCUUGGACUGGUGUGGAGAGAACCUUAAACUCUCGCCUUCAGGUCAAUUCUGUUCUGAACUUUUGGUUUAACAGUGAUGUGCAGAAAAACAAUGGAGAAAACUAGAACUACAACAUGGACCUUAAAUUGUUAUAAAUGUGCAAUGAGCAGGGACAGCAGAACAAAAUGGACAUAAACUUUGACAUUAAGUCAUUAAUAACUGUUUUCUUGUAGUUAUUUAUGCCUCUGCAAAUGUACAGAUAAAGAGGAGUGGUUGGGUGCUAUCUAUCUUUAGUGCAGUCGGGCAGUGUCAGGAACACAAACAUAAAUAUUUCACUGACAUAGUUUUAUCUGUCCUACUCAAAUAUGCAGGAAGCAGAAGCAAAAGCUGCUGCCUCGGGAGAAAAGGAGCGGUCCAUAAAUGAGAGAUUGUCACAAAGUUUAUCACGCAUAACUGUUUUGGAGACCCAGGUUUGUGCAAUAAUUUCUUCUAAAAACAAAAACUUGUGACAUUAUUGUAAGUCAACCCGGGUUUUUGGCAACAAUUUGGGGCCUUUAGUAAGAAAAGUAUUUAUUUUGAAAUGAACUUUGUGUCUUGUGCAGAUUACAAUUCUUAGAACAGAGCAGACACAGCUGAGCCGAUCUCUUGAAAAAGAGAGGCAGAGAGCAUCUGAAAGUAGACAGGAGUACCUUGCAAUUAAGGAGGAGGCGGCAAUACAAGAAGGACGCGCCAAGCAACUUGAAGAAGAAAUAAAGGAGCUUAGAGCUAGGCACAAAAAGGAGUUGCAAGAAGCAGCAGAACACAGGGGGCUGCUUGAGACGGUAGUCAAUUUUCUCUGUGAAUCACUUCCUGAAAAGAACUGGAACUACAUGUAUACGGAGCAAUGUUUCUGCUGCCAAUUUCAUUGAUGAGACCUAGAAACACUUUGUUUAACAUAUGACAUAAAAUUUGAACUUUGGAGGCUAUCUUAUAGCAGGCCUAUUUUAGGAUCAACCGGUAUUUGUUUACUUCGUUGCUUUCCCUACGUGAAGAAAAUUAGUUUUAAAUGUCACUAAUCAUGUGCCUGCCAUUAGAUCUUCUAGUUCAUACAUUACCAACUUGGCAACAAUUUAAUGUGUCUAUUAAAUUCUUGCGUCAAUUGCAACUUCUGAAUUUCAGGACCUUGAAAGGGAAAAGGCUGCCAGAGCAGAACUUGAGAAAACAUCUUCCCGGGAGCCACCUAAAAUUCCGCUUCCAGAUCAAACAAGUAUGCUCUUUCUUGGCCUCUGAUUAGUUUCUGUAAGUUCAAUCCAGCUUUUCUUUUUUGUUGCCUUACCUGUGACUCUGUUGGUUUCCUCUUUGCUUUUCUUGAAGGAAAUGCUCCUGUCAGAAGGCUCUCUAGUGCUUUGAGUGUUGGCAGCCUGGAAGAAAGUCAUUUCCUUCAAGCAUCAUUGGACUUAUCAGAUAGUUCAUCAUUGGAGAGGAGAAUGUCAGCAGAAAAUAAUAUGUCAUACUAUCUGAGGAGCAUGACUCCAAGUGCUUUCGAGUCAGCACUCCGUCAAAAGGACGGAGAACUGGCUUCUUACAUGUCACGCUUGGUAUGUAUAUGUGCGGAUGCAUCCUUCUAAUAUUUCUCCUAAACUAUUUUAUUUUAUUUUCUUGCUAUAUAUAUAAAUUUGAUAUUACUUCUGGAAACUGACAUUUGCUGAUUAUUCAAGCUAUUAUUUCAUAAAGUAUAUUGGAGUAGAAAGCUAUUUUUAGCCGAUUUACACCUGAACUUGUGCAUUAUGGAUGUCUAAAAUAUUUCUAGUUAAGUUUAGCACUAGCUUGUGCAUACACACACUAUUUCACACUCCCUUUAAAAAUUGGUGAAACUAUAUCAAGUUGCUGGCAAACCCUGAGCCCAACUGUAUGUUGCCAUAUAGCGUUUUUUUUUGGCUGUUUUCAUGAGGUGCCUGGUUACCUAACUUAUAUCAUUCAGCAUCAUCUAGAAUGUAGUGGGCCAUUUACUCCCUGGACAUUGUAUCAAGCACUCAUCAGUCCCAUACUAGUUUUAAAACCCUACGGGUUAAUUACUACAAAUUCAUGUGUCAUUCUCAUAUAUCCUAAUUUGUGAAGAAGCAGGAGCGGUAGCUUGGAAUAGUUCCACGACUUGUGUUUUCAUAAGAUGUUUUACCUUUACAUGUUUUGCCCACUAGAAUGGCCUACACCAUUUGAAGCCAUCUAUGCUGGCAACGUUUCCGUAUCUGUUUCAUGUUCUAUCAAACAAUCUUCAGUCCCAUACUGGUUUUAAAAGCCUAUGUGUUAGCUACUACAAAUUUGUGUGUCAUUCUCGUAUAUCCUAAUUUCUGAUGAAGUGGAAGCAAUAGCUUGAAAUAGUUCUGUGACUUAUGUUUCCAAAAGGAUGUUUCUUUUAUCAUGACAUCAGGUCACCCUCAAAUGUUCAUCAUUUAGGUUAGGUUUAGGAUAUGAUAUGUUUGUACUACUUGUGCUACAGCCUUGAGAGCAUUGUCGUAGACUCCUUGGGUAUGCAAUUGUUCUAAUACUUCGGCCUUCAUGCUUUAGUACGCUAAUCUCUCUUGCAAUUGGCACUGAAUAAAUGUCACUUUUAUAUUACAGGCCUCAUUAGAAUCUAUUCGGAAUUCUCUGGCGGAGGAGUUGGUGAAACUGACAGAACAAGUAAAUCAUUGUGAACCAACUAGACUAUAAUUUCAUUAUAUAUGCGGGUGCUAAUUGAACUGGUUUCGUAUGCAGUGUGAAAAAUUGCGGACUGAAGCUGCUGCUCUGCCUGGCCUAAGGGCUGAACUGGAAGCACUGAAACAAAGACACUUUCAAGCUCUAGAACUUAUGGGUGAACGUGAUGAAGAGGUAUUUCUCACAUGCAGUGCAUCUCACCAUUACUCUCUGUGUUAUUGACUUGUACCACAAGAUACACCAACAAUAUAUAAUCCGUCAUUAUAUUUAGUCUCAUAUCAUAUGGAAAAGGGAGUCCUCUUCAUGAAUCAAAUUGUGGUAGCGAGCUUACAUAGUGGAAUCCUGUAAUUAACUUCACUAAUUAGUAACCUGGAAUUUCUACACUAAGUAGCUUGUAGUGACUUUUGGUGAUUGCAACCUAGCCCACAAACCCAGCUGUUUCAGUCAUAAAACCUGUAACUCGUCUGGUUUUAGAUUUGAUGUUGUUUUUCAAACUUUGGUUAUUGAAAUGUAAACAUCUAUUCGCUGUAAUUUGUUGAAAAUGAGGGUCUGUAUAGAAAUUGCCAUGGUAAAGGAAAACUAGAGGUGACCUGGUCUCAGUUUACGGGGUGGUUACUGGUUGCUAACCACCGGUUGGAACUGCCAUGAUGGCUGGGACUCUGGUUACAUUUUUAUGCACACUCUGUAGCUGCCGUAUAAGAUGGUCCUGAAAAAUGUUUUAGUAAAUUCAAUUAAUAUGACCUAUUACCAAUACUACUUUCUGUUAACAAUGGAAUGGACCCAUGCAUAAGCUUGACAAUGAACUAGUUGUCUGACAGUUGGCAUAAGCUGCCUAAUUUAACCUGUCCGUAUUAGUGUCUUCUCAAAGGGAUGUGAAUUCAAUGCGACAUUGUGUGUGCACGAUACACUUUCGGAUAUCUUUGUAUUAUUGUUCCGUAGACCCUUACCUUCUAUUUCUUUCAUACUUAUUAUGAAAAAAAAUCUGUGCUGUUUUGCAGUUAGAAGAGUUACGAAAUGAUAUUGUUGACCUAAAGGAUAUGUACAGAGAACAAGUGGAUCUUCUUGUUGGCCAGGUUUGAAGUAUAUUGAUUUAAAUUCUGCUUGUCAUUGCGGAACCCUGAAAUGUGUUGCCCUAAAACAUCAAUUUUCCUUUUAUCAGCUCCAGACAUUGGGCGCUCGUGUAUAGCAGUGAAUUUGACAUCCCAUUUAAUUUUUAAUGCACUGCAUCGACCGAGACCAAGAUAACAAUUUUGAAGCCUGAACAUGUUUCUUCAGAAUUCGAACUGAUGCGAGUGUGGGAAGUUCAUAAUCACACAACGAGUGAAGAUAUUAUUUGUGUACAUUUUGAAGCAUCUUUGUUGUUGAAUUUAGUAGGAUAGUUUGUUGUAUACUAGAUUGAAUAGCUUCACAGUUUUACGUUUACAGAAAUUGCAAAAAAAUAAUUUACUGAAGUGUACCAAAUUUGGAACCUACAAGUGUAUGUCGACGUCUCUAAUAAUAUGGAGAUCCUGUUUUGACAGCUUUGUCAGGUUUUCUGUCACUCUGUAAUCCAGGAUUACUUAGUUUGAUUUUUUGCUAGUUUGGAAAGACUAAAAUAUAUUAGAUUAAGACCGCGUAUUGUGAUGUUGCCGCAAAGAAAUGUAUCCAGCCUGGGGAAAAGCUUCAUUCCCAGGUGCACAAUAAGGGUUGUAAAUGCACAGGAAUAGGAAAAGCACGUGACUACAAUAUCAUGCCCCAAAUUGUAUAGGAUUGUGUUUAUGCCAACUUUUUUUUUAUAUAAGUGUUUACUCAAAAGUUUGUUUGAUUCGAUCAUAGUAAGAAAUUUCCAACAGGUUUGAUCAAUAGAAAAUUUCCUAUGAAAUGUGGUUCAAAGAAAUUCUAAGAAAAAUAUCUAUAAAUUCAAUCCUACAAAUCAAACAACAAAGAUAGCAAAAUUUCCUAAGGACUUGCAUUGAAAUAUUGGAGGAUUGGAAAAGUUCCUAAGGACUUGCAUUGAAAUAUUGGAGGAUUGGAAUACUUAGAUUUUUUUUUUCCGGUGGGUUGUUUGAUUUGAAAGUUGAGUCGGGUGGGAAAUCUUUCUUUAGGGUUCUUUUGCACUGUAUUUUAUAAAAAAAGAAAUCUUUUCAUUCAAACCUUUAGUGAAGAUUCAUUUGUUUUUCCUUGAUUCAAUCAAACACAACAUUGAUGUCACCACAAUCUUGUAUUCAAAUAGGCAUGGCAUUGCAAUCCUAUUUUUCAAAUCCUACGAAUCAAAGAGAACCUAUGGAACUUUACAAGAUUACGAUGUUAACAUAGAUUGGAGUUGCAAUGAAGGAUUUUAUGUGAGAACCUAGCUUUGCUGCGAAUUAAAUCUCAAACACUAGAUUUUACGAGAGAACCCAACUUCGUAGCGGAUCAAAUGUCAAAACGCCGCCAAAGAGACGGUAUGUUUGAUACCACUCAGUCAGAUCCUUCUACGUGUGAUCGACAAUUCACCAGAAGAUACUUUCUUUUGUCCUGAUGUUGUUGCCAGAGCAAUCUGGCUUUGUAAUUAUCCAAUCUUUUGAUAACUCCUCUAGUUUGCUUUGACGAAAGACUGACAUGUGCAAAGAAACACUACUUAUACUGUUAUACAUGCCUCCAAUAGAUUAAAAAAAACUUUUACAGCCUUCCAACUUCUUUUCAACUCUUUCCUCUUUAGGUUCCCAAUGAGAAUUGCUCAGUCUUUUAACGUCCACUGGAAUUCCCUCAUAAGUUAAGGGGAGACUACCCAUGUUAAAAUCGAAAAUUUUACUAGAACAAACACUUCUUUGAGCAAAAUCUCUUACACGGUACAACUCGCUCUUAUGAAAGUUAACUUUCUGACCAUGAACUAGCUCAAAAGCACAUAAAACGAAUUUUAAGUUUUUGUCGUGGACCAGAUCAUCCUUAAAUUGACAAGCCCCCCCCCCCCCCCCUUCUGCUUAAAAAGGGAUAAAAAAAGGGAAACAUGAGUUGUUGAACUGCCAUUCGAGUCCAUGGUUUUUUUUUUCUUUUCUUUUUUCUAGAAUACACCCAAGCAGGUGUAUCAUAUAUUGAAGGAGGAUUCCGCGACGCAUUUACAUGCCCGUAGGCGCCAGUAAAGCGACCAUUCUAUUACAUUCCACAAGGGAUCCACUAGACUAGAAAGCGAAAAAUCUACACUAUGAAAAAGACCCGCGCUCGACCAUGCCCUUCCUUCACUGUUGAUCAUUUGUUGUAUCUUUCUAGCACUCGGAGUUGCUGCAUCGAACACCACCGAGUUCCUGUGCUUCCAGAGGCACCAGCAGAUGAGAGUAAUGCUAGUGUUGAGGUUCCUCUUCUCUUUCUUGCCUUGCACCACAAGGCUCGUCCACCAUUCGGCAAGAGAGGCUUGCGGAGUAGGGAGCCAGCAAAGCCUGUUCCAGCCCCGCAGCGAGGUCGACCACACUUCCCGAGCCACGACGCAACCAAGAAGAAGAUGGUCAAUGGUCUCAUUGCUUUGAUCACACAAAGGACAGCGUGCCGGGUGGGGCAAACCCCGCUUCGAAAGCCUAUCCGCCGUCCAACAACUAUUUUUUAGAGCCAACCACAUGAAUGUCUUGCACUUAGUUGGCGCCUUGGAGGACCAGACCUCAGUAGCCCCCGCAGCAAGCACACGACCCCGGAAGAAAGCCGCGUACGCAGACGAGGCCGUGUAGGUCCCAUUGUCGCUCCAUUUCCAAUGGAAACGAUCAUCAUCGUAUGAAAGAAUCACCUCAGCCACGCGGUCAUGAACCACCAGAAGAUCCACAAGCGCCUGAAAGCAGAGCUCCGGGUGGAUGGCCCGAAGCCAACCAUUGGCAUGCAAAGCCUCGGCCACAGAAAGCCUGGAUGCCCUACGCAAGAUCUCCGAUAGCAGCGUAGGCGCCAAAUCCGCAAGUGAACGCCCCUCCGGUAGCCAAGGAUCAUACCAAAAAUGUAGAGCUUCACCAUUCCCCCUUGCCACCUCAAUCGCCGCCUCACAAAGUGCCCUGGCCUGUUCCGGGAUUUGGAUGUUGAAUUCAGCCCAUGGACGCGUCGGGUCCACAUGACAUAGCCACCCCCAUCGUGUUCUGAGUGCAAGAUUGAGAAGCUUCAGAUUAGGGAUGCCUAAACCACCAAUCUUGCGAGGGGAACUGCCUUUCCACAAGAACACACGACAUAUCUUCUCUAUGCCCGCAAUGGUCUUCAUAGGAAGGUUGAGAGACAUCAUGACAUAGACCGGCGUAGCUGAGAGGGUCGAUCUAACAAGGGUGAGCCAUCCCCCAAGAGUAAGCAUAGGGACGGACCAUGUCUGGAGCUUAUUCGCCACCUUGUCCACCAUAGAUGAAAGUUGAGUUGCCGUUGGCUUCCGAAGCCCGAGAGGUAAGCCCAAUUAGGUACAUGGGAAAGGCCCCACCUCACAACCAAGCGUGCAAGAUCAAUGGUCUUGACAAAGAUAUUUAAAGACUUGUAUUGUGCUACCGAAUUCAUAUUAGCAAACGUGCAAGAUCAAUAUUUGUUUAGUUUUUUUUUGACAACAUAGAUCAAUAUUUGUUUAGACACGAUGAUUGAGCGAGUACAUGCGAUGUAACAGUCGGAAAAGGUUUCACACAAGUUCAUUUGUCAGUGAACAAAUUAUCUGCAUUGCAUUUUUUCAUAACAAUACAUGGACGUCUGUUCCGUUGGGCUCAAAAAGAAUUAAACAAAAAAUAAACGUCGACAGCAGGAUUCGAACCUGCGCAGGCAAAGCCCAACAGAUUUCGAGUCUGUCUCCUUAACCACUCGGACAUAUCGACCCACUUGGUCUUUUAUUCCUCUCAGUAUUUAUAUACAUGACUAUUCUGUUAACAGAUUGAUGAUUUUUUGUCAUUGCUAUAACCAUCUUUUACAAAAUAUUUGAAGCUUGCAGCAGAACAUGUAAACAUUUAUUCCUUUGAGAUGCGGGGUCAUAAUUUCUGCAAAAAAAAAACUCUGUACCCUUUUCGCAAGAAAAGAAGGAGAGCUAUCACCUGAGUACUCCGUAUUUAGCAUUCUUUAAUUUACAUACUAGUGCUCUAGAAAAAAGUUGCAUAUAGCUUCGUUGCCAAAUCAGACGGGCACUCGGGGCUGCAAUUGCAUGAUGGGCAAUUUGCCAUGCAUUAUUUGACGGAGUACCAACACGGAACACCCGGAAGCGUGAGGCAGCAGGUGCAUUCUUCAGUCAUUCAGUCCAGCCUUCCCUUUCGGUUUCUCCGCUGCCCUUGCCUAGCUAGGCUAAGCUUGUUUAGCUCGUAACAUUUCAAUGUUAAGUUUGCUAUCUUCCAAUGAGGAGUCCACUGUAGUAGCAUUAGCAGUUGGGUUGGUAUGGCCAUCUUGGUAGCUUCUUCUAGCCUCGGGACUUUACAAUCGAAUGCAUCAAUGCAAGAACAUAUGCAUUGUGAUGUACUAACAAGGAUCGAUAAGUAGAAUGAAAUCUGUGUCUUGUUCCAUUAAAUGAUGAUUAUAUUUAUACAAGAGGAAGGGACACCAAUACAUGCAUUGGUGUCCCAAGUUUUGGGCAUUCGCAUCCCGACACAGACGGUUACAACAUUGACUGCCUAAUUAACCAUUAAUUAACUAAUAAUUAAUUCUAAUUGAUCAUAAAUAAUUAUUCUCAACACUCUCCCUUGAUCAAUUUGCUCCAUUGAUUUGUAUAUUCUUGAAUCAUCAUGAAAUCUUGUAAUUUCCUCUAAAAACCCUAUGGGAAAAAUAUUGAGGAAAUAAUAAUAAUAUCGAUAUGUUAUGAAAAACUCCCUUUAAAAAUCCAAUGGGAAAAAUAAGGAGAAAAUGGUAUAACAUAUUUUGAAUAUUGUCUCUUGAUAAUUCAUAUUGAAUUAUAUGAACAAUAAAUAUGCCUUGUAUAUUAUCCACAAAAAUCCCGGUGGGGAAAAUAUAAAAUAUGACAUAUAAUCUUAUGUUAAUAUUGUCUCAUUAAAAACCUUUUAUGAGAAACUAGUGAGUAAAACUCAUAAUAGGAAAAGAGUGCAAUAUGAUGUUAUGAACAGGUUAAAUUCAGGUGAAUACUCCCCCUAAUGCUUGCAAAUUUUUAAGUCGUCGCAUACCAAUCCCAUGUACACAUUUUUUAAAUGUGGAGUUGGGUAAGGACUUAGUGAACAAAUCUGCGAGGUUAUCACGUGAUUUGGUUUGCAAGAUAUUUUUCUCCCCAUUUUGUUGUAAUUCAUGAGGAUAGAAUAGUUUAGGUGCAAUAUGUUUAGUUAUAUUGCUUUUUAUAUAACCUGUUUGCAUCUGGGCAACACAAGCAGAAUUAUCCUCAUAGAUAAUUGUUGGUGAUUCAAUCAAACCAAUACCACAUGAUUGUUGUAUAUGGUUAAUCAUUUUGCAUAGCUAUACACUUUCACGAGAUGCUUCGUAUAAAGCUAUUAUUUCUGAAUGAUUUGUGGAUGUAGCCACUAUAGUUUGCUUAGAAGGCUUCCACGAUAUGACUGUCCCACCGUGUAGGAACACGAAACAGGUCUGGGAUCUGGCAUUCUGGGGAUCAGAUAAAUAGCCAGCAUCAGUGUAUCCGAUUAAUUCAGAGUCUUGGUUUUCCUGUUGGAAAUAUAGACAUAGAUCUUUAGUGCCUUGUAGGUAGCGAAAAACUUGCUUGACUCCUACCAAUGACGUUUUGUUGGAGCUGCGCUGUGUCUAGCUAGUAAAUUUACAGCAAAUGCAAUAUCUGGCCGGGUGCAAUUUGCUAGGUACAUUAAUGCUCCAAUGACACUAAGAUAUGGGAAUUCAAAUCCUAAAAUUUCCUCUCCAUCACCUUUUGGUCUGAAUGGAUCUUUCUCUACGUCUAGAGAUCAAACUACCAUAGGUGUUUUGCAUUGAUAGGAUUUGUCCAUGUUAAAUUUCUCUAAGAUUUUCUGGAUAUAUGUAGCUUGGUGAACCAAUAUUCCCGAAGGAAGGUACUCAAAUUGUAAACCUAAGCAGAACUUGGUUUUACCCAAAUCUUUCAUUUUAAAUUCCGUCAUUAGAUAAUUACGAGCUUCAUCUAUAUCCUGUUUGUUGCCAAUGAUGUUUAAAUCAUCAACAUAUACAGAGAUAAUGCAAAAUCCUGUUUUGAAUUUCUUGAUGAAUACACAUAGGCAGUCAUCAUUGUUAGAGUAAUCCUUUUUAAUGAGAAACUCACUUAGUCGGUUGUACCACAUUCUACCCGACUGUUUUAAACCAUAUAAAGAUUUAUUCAACUUUACACAGUACAUGUUGCGUCUUGCGUUAGUAUUCGGAAUUUGGAUCCCAUCGGGAACCUUCAUGUAAAUGUCCGAAUCUAAUGACCCAUAAAGAUAUGCAGUCACGACGUCCAUUAACAGCAUAGAUAGACGAUUUUGAACAGACAAUGAGAUUAAAUAUCGGAAAGUAAUUCCACUCAUAACCGGAGAAUAUGUUUCAUUGAAAUCAAUGCCGGGUCUCUGCGUGAACCCUUGUGCUACUAGUCUCGCUUUGUAUCUCACCACCUCAUUGUUUUCGUUCCUUUUCUGGACAAAAAACCCAUUUGAAUUCCACUGGAAAAACAUUUGGAGGUGUAGGUAUUAUUUCUGUAAAUACCUUUCUUUUAUUGAGCGAGACUAUUUCUGCUUCAAUUGCAUCCUUCCAUUUAGGCCAGUCGGAGCGUUUUUCACACUCAGCUAUGGUCUUUGGAUCAUGAUUAUUUAGAAGGUUGUUUGCAAUCUUAGUAGAGAAAUAAGUGUCGACAAACGUAGUCUUUCUGUUGUAUAUUUCUCCAGUGUCUAAGUAAUUUGUGGAAAUUUCGUUUAUCUUUGGUGACUGUUCGCGAUUUCCCGUUGCGGUCAAGUCUAGGUUUUCCGAUGUCCCAGCAUCAGUAAUUGAGUGCACUAUUGAUCUGAGUUGUGGAUGUUGGUUAUCCACUGGGUGUCUAUUACCCAAUUGAUCUCGGUCAAUUAAAUGUUGACUCACAUUUGUUGUUGUAGAAGGAGGUUCAGAAGGUUUAUUCUUCUGUUUUCUUUGCCGCGGCUCCUUCAUUUGUUCCUUUUGUUGCUUGCUGGAAGCUUGAUCCUUUUUAGUUGUCGUACCUCUCCCCCUCUUCCUUUGAACGGUAGGUGCAGGAGGUUGAGUAGUUUUUAUAGGUACCUCCACUCUUUCGGAUACGUUUUGUGCAUGAUUAUAGGAUUUAGUUACACCUUUGUAAUCAACAAAUGCGUUUGGUAAAUUGUUUGCAAUAUGUUGCAAAUUUAUAAUUUUCUGAACUUGUUGUUCAGUUUCUUGAGUACGUGGAUCUUGAAAGGGCAUUUCUUUCCUAGUUAAUUUUGGUGGUGAUGACAACGUGUGUUGUGGACUAAUCGUGCGUUAAGUAUUUCAGAUUUGAUAUCAAAUGGCGCAAAACGAUUCGAUGCCCUCAAGUUAGAAAACAAAGAGUAGUGGAGUUUUCGCGGCUUUUUCGGUUAUGGAGUCGUAGGAACUCCGUACUAUUAAGAGGGAGUUCACAUGGGAAGGUAAUGGGUGAAUCGCUUUUCACGUACACAAACAAACAUCUUGCAUCCACAUAAAGCCUACCCAAAAAAUGAGAGAGAACCAACCCUAGAGCCUAAUUGGUGUGCAUUUGCCUGCCCAGGUCCGGAAGUUCCGGUGGGGUUCCGGUACACCGGAACUUCCGCCCAACCUCCGGACCAGGUCCGCAACGCUACUGGAAUCCAUUGUGGAUUUCCGGAAGUUGAGCCGGAACAGUGCCGAAACUUCCGGUGACCAGCGGAAGUUCCGCCCCUGGAACUCGCAGUGCAUAACGGUUAGAUUUUGGGGAGUCCAAAUAGAUACCCCUUCAUCCCCAACGGGUUUCUUGUCCGAGCACGAAGCAAAAAACAGCCACCUCUCUCCCAAGAACUUCCUAAGCUUCAUUCUACUAGAUCUCCCUCCAUAAAUUAAGCUUCCCCCUUGUUGAUUCUUUGAGAAUUGGAGGAGAAGACCUAGAUCUAGGGUUCACCAAGUCACAAAGUUGAUUCCCCUUGUUUCUCUUGUGGAUUUCAUUUCUCUUGGGCAUUUGGGAGCUCUAGACGGAAGUGGUUGCCUUGAGCUCUUCCCUUAGGGAUUGUGGAGCUUGAGGAUUGGAUUGGGAGCCUCCAAUUGAGUUGUGGAGCUAGCCUUGGUCAAGUUUGUAAAGGUUCGGUUUUCGCCUUCAAGGAAGUCAUUAGUGGAGCUCACUCACCUUUGUGGUGCCGUGAGAGGAGAAUAGAGUGAGCCUUUGUGGCGUCUCUACCUUUGUGGUAGAGCACUCCUCCAAACGGAGACGUACACCUACCCCAAUCGGUGGAACUCCGGUGAAAUCUUCGUCUCACCUGUGGUAUCCAUUCUUACCCUUCACAUUCUUGUUAUCUAGUUGCUUCGGCUGCUAUUGCACUUCAUCCUAGGGUUGCAUUACCUUUAGAGAAUUUAGUAAACCCUAGGUUAAGUGUUUGUAUCUUUCUAGAAAAAAAAGAUUAAAAUUUUGUUAGUCGCCUAUUCACCCUCCCCUCUAGCCGACCAUACCGAUCUUUCGGAUCUGAGGCUGAAAUGCCUUGGACAUUCCAGUUGAUUUCCUGGCAUUCUUGUUUUUGGUACUUUAAUUCUCCCCCUAAUGCCGGGAAAUGAUCCUCAUUAAAAAUACAAUCAGUGUACCGGGCAGUGAAUAGAUCCCCUGUGAGAGGUUCUAGGUACUUUAUAAUUAACGGUGAUUUGUACCCCACAUAGAUCCCCAAUUUUCUAUGUCGUCCCAUUGAUGUACGUUGUGGUGGUGAGAUCGGUACGUAUGUAGCGCAGCCGAAUUUUCGCAGAUGGGAAAUACUUGGUGGAUUUCCAUGUACUAAUUGAAGGGGAGAAGUAGUAUGAUAUGCAGUUGGUCGCAAUUGAAUUAAAUCAGCGGCAUGUAUAACCGCAUGACCCCAACAAGUUGUUGUUAAAUUACAAUUCUGUAAUAAAGGUCUUGCGAUAAAUUUAAUUCUCUUAAUAAAAGAUUCAGCCAAACCGUUUUGUGUGUGGACAUAUGGGACUGAGUGCUGAACUUCGAUUCCUAAUGCCAUGCAAUAAUCAUUGAAGGCGCGUGAGGAGAAUUCAGCCGCAUUGUCCAUUCGAAUUAUUUUAAUUCGAUGUUCUGGAUAAUGAGCUUUUAGUUUAAUCACUUGGCUCAUUAUAUUUGCGAAUGCAUGGCUACGUGUGGAAAGUAGACACACAGUAGACCAUCUUGUAGAUGCGUCGAUUAAGACCAUGAAAUACCUAAAUGGUCCAGACAAUGGUUGGAUAGGGCCACAAAUAUCCCCUUGAAUUCAUUCAAGGAAUUGGAGUGGUUCCGCUUGUAUUUUAAGAUAAGAAGGUCUUAAAUGAGCUUGCCUUGUGCACAUGCGGUGCAUAAAAAAUCCUGAGAUUUUGGAAUUUUGCUUUAUUAAGAUUAUGACCAAUGGAAUUAUUAAUAAUUUUCCAUAUCAUCCCGAUACCGGGGUGACCAAGACGAUCAUGCCAAGUCUGGAAUGUAUUGACAUUCUGAAAAAUUAUUUUAUACGCAACAUGGGCUACAGGUUUUAUGUAUGUAUAGUACAAUCCGGACGGUAAAGAAGGAAUUUUUUCAAGAAUUUGUUUACCAUAUCUGUUAUGUUUUGUAAAUAAGAGAAAUUCCUCAUUGUUGUCAUCGUGGGUUUCAAUAUGAAUCCCAUUUUGACGGAUAUCCCUAUAACUUAUUAGAGUACGAGUUGAAUCGGGAUACAAUAAAGCGUUCUCGAUUAUUACUUGUGUACCCAUAGGAAGUAUGAUGACGGCACGUUCAGAGCCAACAAGUAUCGCGUCCAGCGAUUGUCAAAAUAUUCCCUUGCGUUUUAGUAAGGGUUUGAAAAUAUUUUUAUUCCCUAAGUAUAUGUUUGUGGUGGCGUUGUCCACAAGGCAAAAGUUUUUCGUCCAUUUUGGAUUGACUCCCGUAGAAAACUAUAUAUGAAAAAUGAAGAAUUUUAAUAUCAUUCUUAAUAGAUAUAUAGAAUACAUACAAAUUUAUUUAUGUAUGAAAUUGAUAAUACAAUAUCGUAAUUUACAAUACAUAUGUCAAAUAUGUAGGUACCAAAGUGCUGAUACAAUAAUGUAAUAUUGCAAUAUAGAUGACAACGGUCACUAUAAUUUAUUUACAACAAUAUUUAGGAACGUAAAUAUAGAUAAUAUCUAUUUCGGAGAUAGGUGAACUAAUUUAGGUCUCCAAACAUAUUAUUUGAAGUGAAUUCAAUGAUCAUGUUCUCCGUGCUCAUUAGAUCCUCAGACGAUCGGAUUGUCGGUUUGUUGCUUGGGUCCUCCUUUAUAUCAUGUGAACAACCGGUUUCCUUGAAAUUGUCGGAUUGGAAAUUGAAGUGUGAUUCAAAUCUUGGUCCUUGAUGAGCAAGUCACUUGCGUCCUACGGAUUGGAGGUACAGAUCUACCAAAUGACGAGGGGUACGGCAUUUCUUUGUAAUAUGCUUGUAGCACCCACAUUUCUGACAAACUUUAGAUUUGUCGUAUUAUGGUUUGAAAGUGCCUUUCCCCUUUUCCUGUACACGUGGCUUGUUUUUCUUGUAGCCCUUUUGCUUGCCUUUGAAGUUGUUUGGUCGAUUAGUCGAUCCAUUGAACUUGUUGUUUUUCUGAAAAUUAGCAUGUACUUCAGGCAAAGGUGCAGCGCCUACAGGACGCUGAUGAUGGUUCCUCAUUAGAAGUUCAUCAUGCUUUUUGGCUUGAAGUAAAACAUGGAUAAGAUCAAAAUAUCUAUUGAAUUGGCGUGCACAAUACUGUUGCUGGAGGAUCCCAUCGAACAGAAGCAUAGUGGAUAAGUUCUUUUCAAUCUUUUCCGCUUCAGAAGGUUCCUUCUCGCAAAAUUGCAACUAGUUUGGAGGGCAAGUCAUAGUGUGUGUGGAUCUUCUUCCAUGAGAUACUCUAAUUUGAGAUCAGCAUGGAUGUGGUUUCUUAUAGUAUAUAAGGCAUUAUAUUUGUAUAAAUCUGCGAUGGGCGGUUGUCCCUCUUGAGGAGGUUGUAUGGCGCUGAAAGACCACAUGACGCAAGGCUCACUUUUACGUCCAUUGCCCAAGUUGGAUAGUUUCGACCGUCGAGAGCGAGUUCCUCAAACUCUUUCCCGGUCAUUUUGUCCUACAUGGGGUUGAAAAACCAUAGAUUUUGUCAAUUACUAGUAGGUAAAGCCAAAAUAUUGUGGUCAUUGUUGUAAUAAAAUUGCAAGAAAAUGCAUGAGAUUUAAUCCAUGUUAAAUUCAUAUAGUGUAUACCUCAAAUAACACUUUGAAGAUAAUCACCGAUUUAUUGGUGUAGAUCUCUCAGCUCUACGCGAAAAAUUCGCUGCUUUCAAUAAGGUUUAUGUUCCCACGGAACAUUCAACGCCAUUUAGCAUUUUACCGUUAUUGAAAGACUGUAGCACCUUGUGUUAUUUUUUAAUUUAAUAUUGGAAGAGCACGUUGAAGGUAGUCAUUGUGUGUAUUCGACACAAUGUAGACCUCUCAGCACUACGUGAAAUAAUUCGCUGCUUUCAAUAAGCUGUACGUUCCCACGGAACAUUCAACACCAUGUAGCAUUUUACCGUUAUUGAAAGUCUACAGUACCUUGUGUUUCGCAUAUAUUAAAUUGAGAUAGUCACAUGGUGAUAAUUUUUGCUUAUCACUAAUGGAGAUUUUUCUUGAAUCAAGUCUAAUUUGGGCUUUUUUUAUGCCAUUUUGGGACUUAAUCGUUGAAGCAAAACUCUCAGAUAUGCAAGAACUAAGAUCUCAAUUGCAAAGGAGUAAAUAUCACAUGUAAUAGGGGAUGUGUAUCAUACAAACACAUUGAACACAACAAUAUUUACAUUGACAUUUACAUAAGAAUAUGUCUUUUAAUAGGAAUCCAUCCUAAAACCACUGGAAUCUAAAUAAAUAUAAGUGCAGGGACCUAUAAGUAUGUAAAAUACUACUGUUAAAUAGAUACAUGGACCAAAUCGCAAAUAGCCAGAAGUUCCGGACUUUUCUGCAAAAUGGCCGUAGCCAGUGGAGGGGGGGCGCGGGCGUGGUCCUGGGCCUCGGCGGCCUUUCGGCUGGCCCAGGUCGGGCCGAGGGGGGGGGGGGGGCGAAAGGGUACAAAGGGGGGUGGGGCGUGCGGUUAGGGUUAGGGUUACCCCGCCCCAACGCUGCCGCCGCCACUGCUCCCCCCAAAUCCCGCCGCUGCCGCCCCGUUGUCGUCGCCGCGAUGCCGCUUCCGCCGCUGCUUCCCCUCCCCUGCGUCGCCGUCGUUGUUAGAGAGAGGGUGGCCCCCCCUCGUUGGAGGAGGAGAGACCGAGGGCGGCCGGGUUCCACCCGCCACCGGCCGGUCCGGUACGGUUAGCCGCCAUGGCGGCCGCGAACUUGCGGAGAAGCCGCCGGGCUUCGAGAUGAACAUUGUCCAGCACCUCUCCGACGUCGUCGUCGGUUGAUGGAGCGGGAUCGGCGGCCGGCGUGGAUUGAGUCGGGGAGGAGAGCGGCGGCGCCAUGCCAUCCCGCGUCGGGCACGGCCUGUGCUCGUGGAUUGGGCAGUACAGCGGCGGUGGAGGUGGCGCAAGAGCGAGGACGAAAUCAUCUUCUUCGCCGAGCAUGCGCGGUGCCGGUCCGAACAAUAUCCAAUCCAUCGAAGGGGUGUAGUGCGGGGAGGCCGGCGUCGUUGUGUCCGUUGGUGCGGCGGCCGGCGGUGUGGCUGUGGUGGGCAUGGCGUGCACCCGAACGGGUCCGACGUCAAGGGGCCCACCGGCGAGUCCAGCGGCGGCGACAACCACGGUAAGCUCCCCGGCAAGGUGCUCCUUUGCCAAAGAACUCGAGAAGGGCAAGAAAAACGAGAGGCAGAUCAUUGAUUGCCAUGCUCCUCACCUUUGUGAUUGUAGAACAAACGUGGCUGAUAACGUGUUAGAAUAAAAUCUGUGUCUUGUCCCAUUGAAUGAUGAUUAUAUUUAUACAAGGGUAAGGAACACCAAUACAUGCAUUGGUGUCCCAAGUUUUGGGCAUUCGCAUCCCAAUUUUCCCAAAAUUGGGACGCGAACAGUUACAAUAUUAACUACCUAAUUAACCAUUAAUUAAUCCUAAUUGAUCCUAAAUAAUUAUUCUCAACAAUAAGCUCAGAUUGUCCAACCACAACAAGACGGCAUGGGAUCGUCCGUGGACUAGUAGCGCGAAUGAACACUUUAACUUUCACCUAUAGCUAGCUUAACUUUCAAAAAAUGCUUAAAAGGGAACUAAGGAGCCCCUGGCUGAUAAGCUCAACAGAAAAGGAUUGGAAAAGGAAGCGAUGGUUCGUCCACAGCAGGAUUCAGACCAGCGCAAUCCCAACAGAUUCCGAGCCUGUCUCCUUAACCAUUCAAACAUAUCCACAAUCGUGUUAGCUGUGACGUAGUUUUAUGUAUAAAUGAAAACUGUAUACAAGAUUGAAUAGCGGACACAACGCAGCAACAGCAGCGGCAACUUUUAUGUUACAGGUAUGUCGACUUCAAGGUUGUUCCACAAUGACCAUCCGGCGGGAUAGUUGAGUCGGGGAGGUUCUAAGUUGAAAUUCCAGACCAUAACUCGGUUGCAAUUGUCUGGAAGACCCUCUAUCUGACGCUCGCUUUUAACAAGCUUCUCAAUAAAUCGUGACUCCUGCAACGAUUAAAUAUUCAGGUCAGCCGAUCAAUUUGAUAUUGGGUCACAAAAAAUAGCCAUGAUGCAGUUCUAUUUUCUUCUGAUAUACUAAUGGACUUAGCUGCUUAAAGAGACUAUUGGUGGCAGUUUACAUUGAUUUUGCCUUCAUAACAAUUUUAUCCAUUUGCUAACCAAUAUUAUGUUUCAUUUCAUGCCACACUGGCCAUUUCUCAGAUAGAAACUGAUUGCAGUUUGCUCCAUGGAGAUCUUGUAGAUAGAAAACCAACCAAGCAGCGACAGAAUUACACAGAAAUAUUUCCAUUGAAUUAUUCUAAUGUGCUUGACUAUGCACAGCGUUGCGAAACAAAACUCACCUGCAAACCGCCUCUUCCACCAGAGUGGACGAUGACAGAAUCCAAAGCUGGGCGGUUCCACCUCUGAGGAUCCCAGAGCAUUGUACUGUUGAAAGCAAACCCAGAAAAACCAAUAGGGAACCGACGAGGUGCACCCUUCUUCUGAAUUGUGUUCCAUCCAGUGAUUCGAUUACCUUUACACACUGGACCUUCUAAAACAACCCUGUACUUACUUCCAUCAUGGAUUGCUACAGGCCAUGUGCCAAAGCGCCUGCAGAAAAAAGAACAAGCUUGUAACAGAGAGAAGGAGAUUCCUUUCAUCUGAAAUUUCUGAUAAGCAGUGUAAAGGCAACCAAAAAAGUGAAUCUGGAUAAUCCAUUAUUGCUUAGGAUGAUGUUUCACCUCCUACAGCAAAUUUACUUCACAGGUUUCACCAUUUAAAGACUACUCACAACUAAUUAAAUUCUUUACAAAUUAUCGCCAUUUUGCAUAUCUUCUCGAGUUAUAGCACCUAAUUUGGUACUCUCAUCAGUCCUCACUAUGCUAAACUGAAAACACAGCAUAGAUUUAUAGUACCUUCUAUUAUAUUUUGGCAGUGAAGAUCAAAUUCAAAACUGCUUUAAAAAUAAUUAAAAAGCUACUGGCUGGAACCUCAUACUGUUUGCCAUAACAAUGAGUUGGUUUGGAAACAAAGAACUUCCUAGACCUGAUUCAGUAUCACUCAUUAAGCAUCUUGGGCGUAGUCCAAACAACUAGUUUAAAAUGAAUUAAAACUGCAAGACUUAGAUUAGGUCCUGUUCUAAGUGGGAUUGUCGAUCUUAAUAAUUUUCAUACUCCCUCAGAUCCAUAAUAAGUGUCGCUGAUUUAGUACAACUUUGUACUGCAUCAAUGACACUUAUUAUGGAUCAGAGGGAGUUCUUUUUUUACAAGGUACAGCAGGCCCAUUCCACUCACAUCAUAGUCCAUAGAUAGGAAAGGUUUUUGUGCCACUGAUACUCACCAGUAUAAGCUAAGUUCAACCAUUCAAAGGUAAGGAACUCUAGGAGAGAGCUUUCUGUUGCAAUGCAAAUACAGAAUACAGACCCAGCACACAACUCUAGGAGCAAAGCUUUCUGUUUUGGCUAUGGUUUACUAAAGAUACCGCUAAUUUCCAGAAAUCCAAGUGAUGGGUAUGCAAUUUUGAAACCCACUGUGUUGUCUGUUAUCAAUAUCCAACUGCAGUACAAGUGUACAUACUAGAAAUGCCCAGAGAUUCCUUGAGAAGGAAGUAUUUAGCACUCUACUCAAUGUUCACUAACUUUGUUAGCAAGGAACAUGUAACACCCAACCUAGCACUGACUUUUGUCAUAAGCAAGGAAGAUGUAACGUUUCACUCACACAAUAUACAUGAGCAAAGGAACAAUGUUUCUAUAGUUUGAUAAGCAUAAUCCCUUUUUCCUGGCAGGGUAAUUCCACAGUUUUAUUUAUACAACAAAAGGGUUCAAAUUCCCGUUUUGAAUCAUCCAUGCAUUCAUAAUUUAUUCAAUAUAUUGGUAGAGCAAAUGAUGUUUUGGUGGAGAAUUGUCACCUGAUUCUCCGCAUUUCUUCAAAUACAUCACCCAUGUAUGAUCGCUCUUCAUCAGCGAAAUGCACUAUACCAUCAAGGUGGUGCUUUUUAAUAUGAUAGAUUGCAUUAUUCCUUUGACAGACAGCAAUCUUCCGUACACUGGUAAUAUUCUUCCUGCAGACAAGAUGCCUGUACAUAACCCCAGAAGACCUCAGGAUUUCUUCUGUCUCAAAGGUAGUACCAGGCCAUUCCACCACUAACCAUAAAAGAGGAGGUGGCACACCUUUCAAAACAUGAGCUAGACGAUUCAAGUAAUACGCCUGUUGUGGCCGAACAGAAGUGACUGUCACCACUAUCAGAAGCUUCCUCACUGGGAUGACCAAAUCAUUAAUAGCGGGUAUUGCACGUGAUGCUUCGACAAAAUCAACCUCAUCAUCCAACAUUGGAGGAACCGGAGGACUCUCUUCAACCUCAGGCUCGUCAAUCACCUCAACCUCUUUCUGCACUACGAUUGCAUCCAAUUCCUUAACUUUACCAUCCACCAUUUCCCUCUCAACCACCCCAUUAUCGAAUGGAAGCUCUGAGACUAUCUUCUGGGAGACAUCAACCGAGAAGAAUGGCGUGAACCCAAUGAAGAUGCCGACCAAGAAACAUACAAACAGCCGAAAUGCAACUCUCUUGCAGAUCAGGCACUUAGAUUUUGAUCUCUCGGGCGAUCGCCAUGUGGAUCUGAGCCUGCUUGACCACAAAACAAAGUCCAGAGAGGCCAACGAAGCCAGCAGCCCCCUCAUCACGACGUACGACUGCGAAUAUAGCAAUUUAGGAGAUGGCGAGGGGUCAGCAAACUGGGACCAGUCCUUGGCCUGGCCGUCUCGGUGGAAUGCCCCUGUGGAAUUCCUUCUGCUAGACACCAUUCCAAUAUCAUUAUGCAUGUAUGCCUCCUAAAUUUCUCAGAAGCGCUUGCGUUUUAGUCCAGGAACACUGCUCUUACUAUCACUUCUGAUCAUGCGGACAAAUGAAGCGGAAUUGUACCUGCAAAAUAACCAGUUGCAAGAAUUGCCUCUGAUCAGCUCAAAAUAAAACUACAUAGGCUCAUCCAUCCACAUAACAUGCAAAAUUAGAACCUCUUCUACUACAGUAGUUCAGCCAGCGAGAUCUGCAAGAGCACCGCAGAGACACAGAUAGGAGACAUCUCCCCACACCAACCGACUAAAUCAACUAGCUACUCCAGAUUGCCAAAACCAGGAUCACCUACCAGGCUGGGGGCGGAGCUACAGCGGCACAAGGGUGCAUACCCACUAGUUUUGGCAAAUAAAACUAAUUAGGAAAUAUGCUACUAUGAAAUACAAAGCAAUUCGAAAAGGAUUUCAACCAAGCAGCCCACUUUUUAUUCACCUCAUUUUCGCCCCCAAAAUCCCAUUCAUCCAGCCCAACAUGCAAAAAAAAAAAGCACAACCGGCUGCUGCAACUCCAGGAACCCCAAUUGGAACGGAAAUCAAUCGGAGGCAAGCAGCCGUGCGGGUUACAGGUGCGGAUCUAGAACGUGUGCACCCGGAAAUUGUGAAGAGCAGUGGGAAUUAUCUAUUUGGGGGCGGGCGGAGAGGAGAGGAGAGCGAGGUGAGGUAGGAGAAAGGGGAUGAAGCUUGACUUACAGCUUGCAACGGCUGAGGAGAUCACUGCCGUCGCGGAAGUCACGGAGCGAGGCGGCCGGCCCUGGCCCCUGGGUUGGCGCUGUAGUGACGCAGCGACGCCAGCCGGGCAGGGUUAGCGCGGCCGUCGAGGGAGAGACAGAGCGGCGGCGCAACCGGCCGGGAUUAGCACCGUGGAGGAAGGGAGCGCCGUUGAGGGGAGAGAGCACGGCUAGAUCGUGGGGAAUUUCGGAUCGGGACCUCGGCUGUGCUAUGCCGUGGUAGGAGGAAGAGGAACAAGCACGCCCUCCCCCAACGACGGGUGCCUUGUGCAGUGGUUGAAACCAAGCUCCAAUGAUACCGUUUCCUUCUUCGUGUAAAUAGCUAUGCAUUUUUCAGUAGAACUUUUGAACAUUAUUUUAUGUGUUGAAUGAAAAAUUUACAGGCAAGGACAAAGGAACAAUGAUAUUAGUACUGUAGUAGAAGUUCUCAAAGGACCAUAUUUUCUACGCUUACGUGUUCUAGAAUCAGAAGACGUGUAUACUUGUGACUGAUUAAUUCUUUUAUGACCGGAUCUUGACACUUUCUCCAAUAAAUAUAAUGGGAAGAAAUAGUGAGAACCAGUAGUAAUCAGCAUGGCAACCUCAAGGUCUCUAGGGUAAUCACACACCAGAGCACGACUUUCUGCGAUAUGACAUCAAUUAACAGCCCAAGCUUAUUGUACUAACGUGUCCCUCUCACCAGAAGCCGAUGUUUCUCUCCAAGUGCAACCUGACAACAAGAAAAAACCCAAGAAAAUUUAGCCAGGAAAAUAGGGUCAUUUGUGAGUCAGCGAUAACGCACAGCUUAAACCGGUGGCGCAGGACCGGUCGUGAGUCGGGCCUCGAUCCUCAAGGUUGCUACGUGGCGCUCAUCGGAGACCACCAGAUGCCAGAUUUAACGGCCUCCGUGUCGCCUGGCGGUAGGUGGUGCAUGACGGCUGGGCCCCAGUCAGCAGCGCCCUACCUACCUGCGCAAUAGUUGGCCCGGUCGGCGGCGACGGCGAGUCGUUGUAGUGGUUACCACGUCGGCUGAUUGUAUCCAACGGCAAGAAGCAUGGAUCAUUUGUACUGAGACGGAUCGCGAGAAGCAUGUGGGUCCCGUAUGCAGUGACGUGCACGUGCAUUCGGUUGUGCUUACUGCUGGCUUUUCACAACGGAAUAUUCAGCGACCGGCGGGGACAAAGGGAAGAGUGGCCCACGUGCUCAAUUCCUUCCGCUUGUGAGUAACUAUAACAUAAUCGUGUUUUUGUUCUUUAGACAAAAUGUAACAACCUAAUCAUGUUGUGGUUCGGCUGCUUAGUCUUUUAGUCGAAAUGGCCGUCCGAUUAUUCUUCCCCUUUGCCAGCCCCAUAUGAUUGGCGUUGGCGAGAAAGAAUGUACUCCCUAAGCAUUUUCAGUAUUGAACUAGAGUGAAGCGUUACUUUGAUUCAAAGGAUUUUCAUAGGGAUUUUGGAGGAUUUGAAUCCUUAGGAUUUUUUUCAUAUGAGUUGUUUGAUUUGUAGGAUUGAAUCCCAUGAAUUUUUUUCCUAAGGAUUUUAUUGCAUUACAGUAGGAAUUUUUCGAUCCACUCCAAUCUUUUUUUCAAAUUCCUUUGUUUUUCGUGUGCUCAAUCAAACAAACAUUGGUCUAACCACAAUCAUGUAGGUUUCGAAUGGCCAUGACAUUGCAAUUCUACAGUUUUCGUAUUCUUGUAUUUUUUUAUCCUGCGAAUCAAAGAGGCCCGAGACCUUUUUUUUAAAGCUUGUGAGUACUAGUAAUUGAGUACAUGUGGACUAUUGAUACGUACAGUACUGCCUAAGCAUCUUCAGUAUUGAACUAGAGUGAAUAUCUAGAUUUUUAGUCGAGUCGGCCGGAUACGAUGCAUAUAUAGAUUUGGCUUUUUUUUAGAAAAUCUAUAGCUAGCUAGCUAGGUACGCCCUGCGUUUCCUAUCUAUCUAGUAAUAACAAAUCUCAGUUGUUGGAGCGACUACAACAACUGAUCAAUCGGUCAGCCUCCACACGCAGGUCUACCAGAAACAAUGUUGUUGGCGUUUCAUGAUGCAUGUCGUGAAUGCUUUGCUUAAAGCUCCUCCUCCAACUAAUCCCAUUAGCUGAUGCUGACACUCGUGUAUGCACCAACUACGUUAAGAAAAAGAAAAAAGAAUCCUUUACAAAAGAAUUGAGAAAGGAACCAGUUCUCAGGACAAUUUGCACCGACGACGACCGGUUCGUACAUCGAUCCUGCUGUCUGGUUCACAUUUGCACUGGAUUAACUGGUAUAUACCUUUCCUGUUCCCCAUUUCAUGUAUCUCUCUCGAUGUUCGAUUAGUCAGCAUUUUGUGAUGUCUUUGUGUGGGGGGAAAAACUCGAGUCUAAAAAAAAAUGCAGGCCUUGUGUUACACUGCAAUUAAAGAUUACUGUUCGUAAUUGGUUCGUUCCCAUUCGAAUUGAUCAAGUGAUCAUUAUAUUUAACACUUUUAGUUAUCAGUGUCUUCUUCCCCGGCGUGCUUCUAUUAAUUAACCUGAUAAAGCAUUCACAUGUGCACUUUGUAUAACAUGACUGCAGAAGAGAGUGUUGUUGCAAACAAACGCGAGAUUAGAUUACUCUGGUGUUGCCACUAACCAAAGGCAUGAUGCGGCCAUGCAGGUCCAGCAUGAUUGUCAUCAAAAGUGACCGGCCAUGUGCUCCCUUUUUUUAAGAACUACAGUAAAACAGAUGGCAGAUGGGAAUGCGGAGGCGGAGAAAAUGGCUGGCAAAUGUUUCGGUGAUACUCGUUGUAAGUCUGGGCCUAUUCUUGCUAGGCACUUUCAAACGGGCUCUCUCACCAAAAAAAGAGGGGAAAAAACGGCUUAACGGGCUGUAUGCCUAGAAAGCUUAAUGGAGUCUACUAACUGGGCUUGGGCCUUCCUCCAAAAAAGGUUUUGGGUGGUCGCGGUGGUGUGUGUGGGGGCGCCUGGUGGUUAAGAAAGUUUAAUUAAUAUAAAUUGUGCGCCAUGGCUCUUCCUCUUCUGUGACGACACUUUACCGGACGAAGCAGAGAUAUCUUUCAUCCACAGGUUCGAUGUGUGUGAUCUUGCGAACUUUAGGUUCGUUUCCUCGCAGAACCGCUCAUACAUAUAUGAUGAGUUGUUGCUAGUGUGUCCUAGUGCUUUUAUUGGCAUGGUUUUUCUAUGGCAUUUGAGUCUUUCUUUGAUGUUCAGAUCAAGACUAGACGGGCCAGCGCGCUUCGCUGCGCCGUCGUUUUAUGAGUCUUGAGUUAUUAAUCUUUGAAAUUUUGGAUUUUUGCUAUAUUUAUACAAGAGCGGGGCUGCUUAAGCACAUAACCAACAUCGUUUUUCAUGCCUGGACAAUAAAAGCAUAAUAAAUUAACCACCUUGCAUGUAAGAAUGCGUGUCUACAAUGAUGCGUAUAGAACGAUAGCAUAUUUCCAAAAUUUUCCGUACUUGUUUGGCUCCAAGGUAAUUUCAUAGUUCUGCAGGAAAGUAGCAAAUUCAAUAAUUAACACAAUUCUAGAGCCAAAAUAUGUAGUGCCAUGUCCUCAAAAACAGAAAAAAAAAAUGAAGCUUUGAUUUCACAGAGCCACCAACAAUAUCCAACCAAACAAUCAACCAAUCGGAAGAUCUCCGUAAAUUAAAACUUCAGAAAAAAUGGUUAUCUUAAGGAGCAUAGUUAACAGAGAAAACUAACAAACGAAAAAGUCUAACUUCUUGAAGUAUUUCCCAUACAAUCGGUAUCAUUCUUGACCGAAAAAUGGUUAUCUUAAGGAGCAUAGUUACCAGAGAAAACUAACAAAGAAAAACUGAACAAUUCAUAUAAUCUUCUGGAUGACCUGUGACCUUCAAGAUUCAUCAGUUAAAACCGAACAAUUCAAUAAAAGCUUUUGGAUGACCUGUAACCUUCAAGAUCAUCAGUCAAUGCUUUACAUAGAAGGAACCAACAAACCUGUCUAAUGCUUCACCUGUAAAAAAGAGAAGCACCGGGCAUUUUAGGCACUUGUGUUCUAUUAAACAAAUCUCACAGUAUUCCUAUGAGAAAUCAGAAUUUUUCAAUCAACAUAACAAACUGAAAGAAAGCGCGAACAUGAUGUAUUGAUUCUUGACACAAGGAAAUGAACUCAAAUGAUACAUGCAUAUGGAACAUUUAUAGUUUUAUGUGAACUCUAGAAAAAUAUGUACCAAAUUAGCAUCAUUUUAUUUUUCAACUAUUACAAAAGAAUUGAGAAAUUUCUUUGAUUCCGUAUGAUCAUGAAGUCAGCACCAUUAGGUGUUUCAAAUAACAGAAGGAACAUGCUUAGUAGAAGGGAACCUCUCAGCACUAUCUAGCUUCCUUCCAACACAAAUUUUCUCUAGAGCAAUUACAGGAGUAUCUUUAAGUAACAUAAAUAACCAAUCAAAAGAUCUAGGAAUUGCAAGUUUGUACAACAACCAUUACAUGCCAUUUGGUUUCAAUAGAAAAUAAUAAGAGGAACAACACAACCGAUGAACUUGAAUUUCAUACUACUAAACGACAUAUCCAUGAUACAUUGGAGCAGGUUAACAAAAAUCCGAAGACGUCGAGAAAAAGAAGAUAGCUUUCUCACUACGGGAAGAAACAAUAUAACAUGAUCACAUCUUUAAAUGACAUAUCUCGGCUCUAAGAUAGCGCAAACACAGUAGACAGAAGUUUAGGGAAAAUAAAAACCACUAACCUUGGUCAAGUGUAAAGUUAAAUCAUGUUAAUAAACCCUGAACCAUGUCGUCCUCGGAACUGUGGAAUGCAAAGAUGUACUAAGCACAGAAGUGGGGUUUGCUUCAGUCAUUGUUACACCACAAUAAUUUGGAGAGCAUGAAAUCCAAAUCCAAAUCUUUCACUAUUAAACAUACAAUAAUUACUCACAAGCACACGAACUACAUAGGAGCAUAUUUAGCACCAUGAUUAGCACUGUCGUAAUCAGCGAAAGCGGUUGGGAAAGCUAAGGCAAAUAUUCCAGCAGGCCAGACUACCAAAGGGCAAGCCCAACUAAGGAGAGAACUAAAAAUCAAGCACCACCACCUCAAAAUAAUCAUUUCAGCCCAUAAGGUCAGGAUGAUCUCUAGCUAAAACUGCACCGGAGAGAUUAGCAUCAGUGCAAGAACAGAUUAACAAAAUUGCACAAGAAAGGGAAAUGGUGUAAGGGCUGAAUUUGCUGCACAAUUGGAGGAAAAGGUUCUUCUCUCUCCCAACUUUGCAUACACAUAGCAAAUUAUAAUUUCCUAGCAGCACCAUCCAUCCAUCCAUCCAGAACCUUAAUUCACAGCCUGCAAAUUGCAAGAAGCCUCGAACAAACUUGUCAAUUUGUCCUAUAUACACAGCCUGAAGCACUACAGCGAAAUCUAAAACAAGGUUAAUGCUGUCCUGUGUACACUGAGAUUCAGAAUCGAAAUUCACCAACAAUUUUGACUCUAGCUAGUUCUUUAGGACAGAACAAGAAGUAGGAAAGAUCCAACCUGAGAGGUAAGCAAUGCAUCAUCUGGUGGAUCCUAAUGGCACAAAGGAAAAGAAAUAGACCACUGACCAACACGAAAAUAACUUGGAUCUCAAGGAGAAGAGGAGGAGGGAGAUCUUGAGGAGCAAUAAGAAACAAAUUGGAUUGAAUCUCAAAUGGAUGGGAUGUAGAACACAAACCGGCGGGUUUGGUCUCUCUCGGGCACCCCUGUGCGCGCUCACUGGUGGCCGGUAUCCACGGCCCGCUUGUGGCCCUGCCCUGCGCCGACUCUUUCGCUUUGGCGCCGGCGGCGUCACGCGGCCAUCUCGCCUAGCCGACCACGACCACCACCUGAACCUCAUCGGCCAGUUCAGCCCUAGAAGAACGCCAUGGCCAGAACGGGCGGCUACCAAAGUACAGCAAAACAAAAACAAAAGGAAAUGGUUUCUUCAGACCUGGGGCAUCAACAAAUCCACCAAAGUACAUCAAAACAAAAAUGAAUAGUGGAGUAUGCACAUCAAACACAUCGAAGCAUUGGUUCCUAAAUUCCUUGGGAAAAUAACAGCGGAGACAUAUCCAAAAAUCCAUCAGAAAACCCCCCAAAAGAACACGGAACACCUCCUCACCGAAUUUCGAAAAGUGGUACACGAAUUGAAACACGGUCAGACCAGGAGUGGCGGACGGCAACGUUGGCGAUGCAGAGAGAGAUGAUCAGUGAAGAGAGCGUUCGAGGAAGGCUCGGGAAGGAUCGAGAAGGGCUUCGAGGCUGAUAGUGGGCCACACGGCGAUCGGCCAGAGAAAAAGAAAAUCAACCGAUGGUAGGGAUCGUGACACGCUAACGGCAUAGAUGCAAACACGUGGAUGCAAGAAUGAGGCCUCAAAUCUUUCGCCUUUAGAGAAGGGAGAUUUUAUGGUUCGAUGGCCUGUAUCUUCAUGGGACCAUCCCAUCCAAGUACGUUUAAUGCUCAUGUCCCAUCUUUCUUUACGGGUGACUUGAGAGGGCUUUUUGAAACCUUCAAAGGUAAUCGAGUUCGUGUAGGUGUUCGAGUAGCGGCGUCCCUACUACAGUCUAAUUGCAACGUCUUUACUGAAGCCCCGAUGGCACUCCAUGUGGCAAAGAUAGAUACGAUGGAGAAGUUUGCUUUUAAAGACUUCAAUGAUGUUCUUAGUUCCAAGAGUUGCUUUUUAGUUUCUUGCAUUUAAUCCAAAACACUGUAAUAGAUGUCGAGUUUGGAUAAAACUACAUGUGACUCAAAAAAAGCAUGGAGAUAUUUUUUAAAAGGUGUGGUCAUAAGCGUCUGAUUUUUAAGAAAAAACUUAAAUCUCAGUUGAUGCAUUGAAGCCAUUGGAUUAAAAUCUGUAUGACAUCCCCACUCUCUCUCCUGUCACACAUGUUGUCAUUGGAUUGAGAUCUGACGGCCAAACACGUUGACUGAUCUCUAACUAACUAAUUCGCAAAAAAAAGUAAAAAUUACUCCAUGCGAUCCUAAAUUGUUGUUGUGAAUUUAGUUCUAAAUUGUUGUCAUGAAUUUAGUUCUGAACUAAAUUAAUGACUCAAUUAACGACAACAAUUUAGGAUCGGAACAAGUUGCUGAUUUCUCAACAGCAAAAUUUUAAAAAAUGUACCUACAGCUGAUAAACGGGCUGGCUCACGAAAACAAGCUUAACAGUGUUAACAGAAUACAUCAACACCGAGACACAUAGUAUAUCACUGGCUUGUAAAUUGCGCACAAACUUCUUUAGCGUCCAAAAAAAAGAUUGUAUACGUCUUGAAAACAUUUACAAACUACGAUAAAAAAAAAGCAGAACGGUUCAUCGAGUCGUAGCUAUCACGGGCCAGGACAGGCGCGUACGUAUGGCAGGUCCGUCCGUUGACCUGUGAAAGCAGCCCAGUACUCACAUGCCAUCCAGCAAGAGCAGACUCCGACCGACUCCCCCAGCAGCCCGGCAGCACCCACGCGGCCCUGCAAGUCAUUUGCCACGCACGGUCACGGAAAAAACGCAGCAGCGCAAUGCCUGGGCACGGCACGGGGCCGGGGGACAAGCAACAAACAAUUGAUUGCCAUGGCGAAGAACUGAAGAAGUCUGGUGAUGCACGGAUGGAUGGGCUCGCCAUGCACGGGGGCAUGGGGCCGGAUGGCUCUCACUCCAUGCAGUUUGCUCUUUUGUCCUCGCCGAUGGGGCGGGCAGCCGGGGCCGGGCAAACGUUGGAAAGGAACAUGGCGGGGCUGGAUGGAUAUGGAUCGUCAUCAUGGCUGCCGCUGCACGGGCCUCGCUUGCCGGCCGGCAUGCAUGCAAGAGCGCCAGGGUUUUUUUGGACGCGCGGAGCUAGACAUCGAUCCAUCCAUCGAGUUUGUUGUUCUGCUGCGGCCAAAAUCAUCAACCGGUCGUUCUAAUUUAAAACCGUGUCAAUCUUUCUUUAUGUAACGGAGGAAGUAGGCUUUAUGCAUGAUCAACACGGAUGAUGGAUGGAGGAAGAUCAUUCAUUCACGUACGCGGCUACUAUUGUGUAAUUGUUGACCGGUCUGGCGAUUUUUAUUUAUCAAAUCAAAGCGUGUGAUUAGGCAGUAGAGCAACAGCUGACAUAGACUCGCAUAGAGUAUACCGAAGUUCCUUCAUCCUCUUGCGAGAUGUUAAAUGCAUCGAUCCGGUAGGCGCUCCAUUACUCCUGGCUCCAUAUCUCGAGUAUAGGCUGCAGCUUCACUGUUCUGGUCAUCUGUUGUGCAAUUAUCCUUGGCAGUUGCAGGAGCGAUAGAGCAGUACUACGGGAGGUAGCCAGAGCAGGGGAGGAAGGAAGUUAAUGCGGGCGCUCUCGAGCACCUGUGGCAAUGUAUGAUGGCCGGCGAGGUGACCGAGCGGCCGGUGCUGUGAUGAUGCGCGCGUGGAAGGCCGGCCGGGGAGUACGUGUAUCAGCACACAGAGGCCAGUAAAUGCACUCGCAGCUGCUUGUACUGGUACGUAGUGCCGAUCGAUCGAUGGUCGAUGAGCUAUAGAGCAGGGCUGCAGGUGCUGCUGGCCUGCUACGGCGCCGCGCACGCCUGCGCAGGCGCAGCGCAGGCUGCAGGCGAUGUCGAGCGCGCGGCACGGCAAAUCGAUCAGCAAAUGCUAGUGGUACACUCGUACUACUCCGGUCGACCGAUGAGAAGAAGCCCGGGGCCGGCCCUCGUCGCGCGCCGUGCGGCGCCAUCAAUUCUCUGAACCACCGAGAUGCGUCGAUUCUUGGUCGCUAGGUCUGGAUUAAAUGCAGUGCAACGCUAGGGUUGCAACAC